UUUUUUUUUGUUUCUUGUUGCUGCAUUAUAUAUUUGUGAGAGCUUAGAUGUGACAUCCUUAAAAAACAUCUAGACAAACUGUAGGAAUAUCUGCUUAAAAAACAUCUAGACAAACUGUAGGAAUAUCUGCUCGUCAAGACUGGCAAUGGCCCAUGUCCGCAUACCAAUGAGAAAACAACCAACUGCAUGAAUCUCAGUACAGCCCAGCGGCUCAAAUAUCUAGAAUGUUUUCACAUGAAUGUUUACAGCGCACCACGUAACAGAUUCAAGUUUGAGAAAAAAAUGACUACUCUAGCUUCUUUUUCCUCUCAGCCUGCAAGGGUAGCGUGCCUUUCAUACGUUUUAGCGAGGAAAUAGAUAUCACAGAUACACAGAACAUGACAACAUGUCGUCGUGGGUUGAUAAAAACUUGCACAAUUUUGAAGAGUUCAACUCACCAGGAACCACAACAUCACAAACAUGAAAAGAAAUAACUUUGAUUAUAUUUUGACAAUUUGACUGGAAUUAUGAAAUGGAAAUCAAUCAAUUCCAUUUGAUUCAAGUCACAACUGAGAAAUGAAAACUGAAGGGAGCACCGGAUUUUGGAACACAGGAAAAUAUUACCAUUACAAAAUCCUCGCAGGAAGAAACACAAGUCUUUCUUUGAGAUGGAGUAUAAUUUAUUUAAGAUAAUUCCAUCCAUCCUCAUUCAUGAGUUUGCGGACUUCAACUCACAUUCUAAAGAUGCGGAUGAAAAGGACAUAAAAAUGUAAGAUGUCAUCAUCAACCAGUCAAUGCAGCAUUGAGCGCACUGUGAACAUCCACUCCGAUCUGAGCUUCCGCCUUCUCUAGGUCAGUCGAGGCUGAUCCAAGCUUGGCAGUGAAUUCAGCAAGACCUUUCUGGACCAAGCUUUGGUCAAUCUGAUCAAGGGGGACAGCCUCAACAGCCACAACAUCAGUAAUGGAGUUUGCAUGGAUGAAUGCAAAGCCACUGCUCACAAAGUACUUUGUAACAUCAUUUCCCUCGUGUACAGACAUAACACCAGGCUUGAGCUCUGCAAUUGUGGAAACAUGGCCUGGCAAAAUACCCAUCAGGCCAGUUGUAGCCGGUACCAUUACCAUGUCAACCUGACAAUAGCCAAACAAUAUGAGAUGAGUAGUGACAAAAACAUAAGACCAUACAAAUGAUCAAGAGUAGCACUUUAAGCGAGCAUAAGCAUUUAGGAAUCAAUGUACAAAAUUUGAAAAUCAUUCUCCGACCUUCUCCCACCAAAAAUACAGCAUCACAAAAUGAACUUACCUCAAACACCAAAAUUACUUAUCAGACAAAUAGCAACAAUAAAAUUGAUAGCUAAUAACAAAAUUGGAAACCUAAAAAAAGGUAAAUUCAAGGACUCGAAAAAAAAUUCAGAUAACCAAAGACACUAGGUAACUUAAAGUAAACAUUAUUAACUGUAGAUUAAGUUUAAGAAACGCUUGGCACAUCAGACCAUCAAUUCACCUUCUGGCCGUCUAAUAAUUUAAUUAUUCAUAUCAUGAUUUGACACAGAUUUGAGCAUGUUCUACUCCCAGUUCAAGAAACCCACUCAUCGCAAUAAAAGAUGCUACUCCCUCUGAUCCCAAAACAUUCGGAAGUUAUACUAUGAGUAGUAACUGGCUCAGUUGUUUUCCCACAACAUUUAUACAAGAUCGGAGGGAGUAGUAUUUAAGCAACUCAUGACAUGUCUUUGAUACACUAAGAAUAAUACAGAAACAUUCAUAGCUAAAUUGGAAACUGUACUGGGGCAUUGCUACCACAAAAGGUCAAGAAAAUAUAUCAUGGGAGAAUGUUAUGAUUGUUCCAGACACAAAGACUGUUUGUGCAAAACAGUGCAGUAAGUGAAUGAAGGUUAUCUCAAUCAAGAAAAUUGACAACAGGUAUAAUUAGUUAAUGUCAGCGAGGGCAAAUGUCGUUAAACAUUAAUAUUGUUCCAACUACUGUAGCAACGGUGCACCAUAUCAUGUGAUCAGAAGUUCACAACUCAUAUAAAUGUAGCCCUAUUGUCCUAAAUCCACUAACAAGGCUCCGAACUACAGCUAAAAAAUAAGAAUAAUGAACCAUAUCACAACAAAGGAACAAACCAGAAAGCAAACAGAGCACUAAGGGGCUGUUUGGAUAUUGCCUAUGCUAACCCUGCCAAUGCAUGGGCAAGCCAAAAUACUGGCGCUGCUUUCUGCCGCCCACGCCCUGGCCAGUAGUUGGCAAAAAAAUGAACUAGAAAGCUGGAGGUAGUCAGGGCACGCCAAAGAAUUGGCUUCGAUACAAACGGUUCCCAUGUACCCGGUCAACGCCAAUAUUUUGGCUUGGCAGCCUGGGGCGUCAAUCGGAACAGCCUCUAAAUGCAAAAUAUGAAAGAAAAAUCGUUUUAUCGGACUAAUACUUAAUCUAGGCACUGGGCUAGAAGCUUGGGAGAAGAAAAACAUACAAGGAUACCCACAAGGAGGCAUGUCACAAUCCUCACGGUACAAAUUGAAAAAAAAAAUCAUAGAAGUCUACUAGGACGCCACUAAGAAUUUAAUGGCCUGAAGAUGCUAGCAGAAAUCUAAAGUGCUUACAAUUAAAGCAUCCACAGCCCCAAGUGAAAACUGCAGUUCCUUGUGGACGGCAAUAACCAUUAGGAGGACACAUGUUCUACUCAGUACAGUCAAUCAACAUAUAAGCCAUCUGGUGCAUGGCACUCCAAAAAGGUGAGGUUUGGAAUGAUCAGGCUUACCCACAGAGACAUCAGAUUAACUGAUAUAAUCCAACAAUCUCACGCAGACUACAAAACUGAAGCGCACCCAUGCACAGGAUCAAAGCGCAACAAGCGACCCAGCACAACCAUUCCACCAGAACAAUGACAUGAUCAAAAGCAUCCCAUGACAAGACCAUACAAGGGACAUUCGGGGUUCCUAACCAAAUCGCCCCUAGGAUUCCACCCAUCCCGCGGGAUGAACCAGAUCACAAAGGCCCCUCUCACACGUCCCUAAUCUCCGACCGAAAAAAGAAAAACGGCCGAAAGAUCGUGCGAACGGUCGGAACCCUAGACGCACACGCACAGAUCUGAGAUCGGGAGGUGGGACGACGGGGGAGGUUACGACGAUAUACCUCCUUGUUGGUGAUCUCGGACUUGUAGGGGAGGACGAAGUUGACGGUGAGCUUGGAGGGAAUGGAGGCCGGCGUGGGCGGGCGGGGCUUCAUGGCCGACAUGGGCGUCUGGGGGGGCUCGAUGAUUGUGGUCACCUUCUUCCACGCCUCCAGGAAGGCGGGGUCCUCGCCCGCCUCCGCGGGCGCCUGCGCCGUCGCGAGGGCCCUGCGGCUCAUGGAGCCGCUGCCGGCAGCGGCGGCGCGGGACGCGAGGCGGCGGGCGGCGUGGCGCAGCAUUUUUUUUUUCUCCUCCCUCGUCGGACAGGUACGGGAUGGAUGUGUGCGACCUGCAGAUGAGUGGGUGCUGAAUGAAUUGGGGUUUCGGCGAUUUGGAGAAGGCGACGCUAAGAGGAGUGGCGACACUGAAGGCGUUGUUGCGUUUGGGUUGGGCUGUUUGGGCUGGACCCGGCCGGGCCGGGCGCCUGGUAAUUGCGUACAUAUAUUUUGGUGGCCUUCUGUUUCACGCAAAUCUCAAUGAUUGUCAGAUCUCAAAAAAAAAAAUCUCAAUGAUUGUCUCAAAAAAAAACGCAAAUCUCAAUGAAAUGCAAAUCCAAUCUUUCCAAAGUCCUCAACAUCCUUAUUUCCAGAUCGCAUCAUGCUUCUUCCUCUUCAUCCGCCAUGGUUCGAGACCCCGGGCCACCCAAGAGAAGCAAAGGAGGGAGACACACGAUGGGUGGAGGAAGAUCACAGGAGAAAAUCAGCCAGCGAGACUCUCGACGGGUAACAACUGCCGGAGGAGAUAAAAAAAAACUAGGUUUUCCGGCAGGGGAAUUGGAGCUAUCGUGAUAGCUCACAUAAGCAGCUCUACGCUUUUUUUUAGACAAGCUCUACGCUUAUAUUUGAAGGGGCUUCUAGAGGGUCCCACAAUUCAUAUGACAUCAAAUUUUGACGUGUCAUAAAAUGAAUGAAUAGUUUUUAAAUUAAAUAAACAAAGAGUUGCCUAGCUGAUUUAAUUUUCUAAUCCAUUUCUUCCAAGUUGGCGUAUCAUAGCGAUCAGAUUUGCGGAAGAAAUAUCUAAACGAUAACUGGCAUGAUAUUGUCGACCAUAACUUUGAUUUCUCGAUAGCGGGUGGUUUUGGAAACAGAGGUCCAGAUUUACUAGCCAGUAGAGCUGGAAUUAAGUUACAACAUCGUCUCAUGUCUUCUUUUAUACCAACAUUUCAAUGUUGAAUAGACCAGACAGGGCACACAAUAUGGGUGGGCAGCAUGAUCCGGCGAUUGCACUCUUACAGUAGUCUUCCGGGGCCUCUUAUCUUUUCCUUCACCUCCGCAUAAUGGCUUGUGGAGCUUGAAGCCAAAUACGUGAGGAACAUAGCGCUGCGAGGGCUUCUGGGGCUUGAGAUGAUCGUAUGUCAUCAGAAACAGGUGAGGAAACAGCAAAAUAUCUGGACAUGGUCAACAAAACAGCAAAAUAUAACAACAAAAUAGCAAUUUUCUUCAAUUAUGAUAUCCCCGUGAUGCAGAUAUGUAAAUAUUUCUUUGUAGAUGACACUCUUUUUUCCCCACGAGAAAAACACACCAAUUUGAGACAGUAUAAUAAGAGAGUGAUUAGGAUACUGCCUUGGUAUUUAGACCGUGGAUAGUAGAUGUCUUCGCACUUGGGACAGUAUAUCUUCACUGUACUAGAUCAGUGAAUAUCCGAUUGUCCAACUGGUAGACAUGGUUGGCCACAGCAAUAAACCCGUGGACAUCGUCCAAAGUCAUAGUUCUUGUAUUUCUCCAGCUGCCAAAAGUAAGGAAUAAAAGUUACCACUUACUACAAAUUAAACUUCACCGACAUGAGCGAAUUUCAGCCUUUCGGAAACAAAUAUGGGCAAGUACUAGCAAAGCAAGGUUAGCAUAACAGUUACCAUAGCAGCCAACCCUUUACCGGUAAGAAUGUAUCGCGCAUGAAAUAGCCCAUACAACAUCUCAGCAGCUGAUUCCACUAGCUCAUUUUGUUCUUCUGUGAAAAUAUCACCUACAUAUUCAAAUAAUCAAGAACAUCAGCAAUAGCAGUAGGCAAUGUAAAAGGAAACAUGCACAAUACCAUGCCAUGGACAAGUGAGAGCCAUAUAUUGCACGAAAUCAACCAACCAAAGCCCAUGCAAAGGAUUGAUGUUAUUUAGUGUGGCAGAUAAAACCUUCCAUUUAUGCUUACAGUAAUUGAUAUGGCACCUUUUACUUCAGCGUUUAACUAGUAAAGAAACAAAUUCAAGGGCAUUGGGAAACUAAAAAAAAAUCUGUAACACCAAAAAUGUAUUACCUCCGUCCCAAAUUACUUGUCUUAGAUUUGUCUAGAUACGGAUGUAUCUAACACAUAUCUAGACAAAUCUAAGACAACUAAUUCGGGACGAAGGGAGUACUUAGAAACAGAGCCCAAGCAACCAGUAAGUGUUAGCAUCACUACUAGUAAAGGCUUUGAGCAUCCAAACUAGUGACGUUAAAUGAGUCAAAUAACUGUAUAGGGACAACACAUUUGCAUCAUAUCAAAUGCAGAAAUGCAUCUAACAUUUCUUGUUAACAUACACCCGUCGGGUGGUUCCAUUUAAAUGAGUAAAUAUUGAGAACAAUUACCAUGAGAAGACUCGAUAUCUAAAAUGAGAUCAAGAACAUAAUCAUAAUAUGGAACUUGACUGCUAAGCCCACAACAUUGAAGUCAUCUUGAAUGUAAUCAUCAUCGAUUUCACAGAAGAACGCAUUCCCUCUUAGGUUGCAAUACCAUGAAAUCCAAGAGGUGUCUUCUCCAUCAGAGCCACUAACAUCUGAUGCUUCACUGUCAGAUUUAGACUCCCCUGCAACGUGAAGAGCAUGGAAGCAUCAAUGCACUUGUUCACAAACUGAUUCUCUCUCAAACACGCACCUAAAUGCAGGUCAAUAUUUAUUAAAAGAAAAUGACAAAGAAGGCGCAGCAGUAGAUCCCACCAAAGGCGGCCUCCGACCGACAGAAACAAAAACCAGGCUAAGGGGGGAAAAACCUGUACAAACUAGGCUACUAGAAAAACAACAAAAUAGAAAAGCAGCAGCAUAUCUCCUAAGCUAACAUAGAUGACGCAAAUACAACACGCAUGCAGAAAAUAUAUACAUUGGAGCAACUACAAAAACAUAGCUAGCAACAACUUUAGCUAACUAACAAUAUAAAGUGCUACUGAAAGCAGAAUUGGAAUAACUCAACAGACCUGGAAUACACCAUAGCAAUUAGGAGACAGGUAGAUAUGAUCUGCAUCAUACCUCUAAGUACAAUUCCAAAGACAGAUAUAAGUAUUAAGCCAACAAUUUUGCAUUAUGCUCUCAACUUCUAGGCUAUAGCAUUACUAGGACAUGGUACGUGCAAAGCACGUAGAGAAAACUACUCUUAUGAAUUUUGUAAGAGAAAAGUGCAACGGGUUGGUUUAAGUUCCAUGAUUAUUAGGAGCAUCUUACUAAGUAAUAUAGCACAAUUGAAAAAACUAUGUUUUGGUAACUAUACCGCAUUAUCUUUAUCCAGACCACAUUAUCUCAUCUUUCUAGAACUCUCUCGUGAAUCUUGACCUUUCUAUUCUUCCUAUCUUAUCUGGUGUCCACAUGAGUUGUCUAGAAAAAGAGCUUAAAACAUACUGAUGUAACUUGUUCACAGUAGCUACCUGUUGCCCCGUUUGUCAUUGCCUCAUCAGGUUGGAUGGCAGGACAGUUGGAUGAGGUAUACUGUAGCUGUGAAUCCAGGCGACUUGAACCGUUGGAUGGACUUUAAUCUACGACUAGCAGGCAGCAGCUCACAGAUUUGCCACUUACCAACCAUCCGAUGUAGCAUAUCUGACGGCUAAUACCAAAACCUACUCGUGCACUAUAAAGGAGUAUAGAUAUGUCUAAGGAAACAAUAUACUAACCCAAGAAUUUGUGAGUGGAAUCAUACUUAAAGAGAGAACAAGAGCUUCUUCAAAGCAGAGCAGUAUAAAAAAAAGGGCAGCCCGGUGCACGUAGCUCCCGCUUGCGCAGGGUCCGGGCAAGGGUCCGACCGCUUUGAUUCUAUAGUACGCAGCCUUUCCCUACAUUUCUGCAAGAGGCUGUUUCCAGAAACAAAAUUAAUUUUCCCAGAUGUUUUUACACCUUAAGCCACUGAUAUACUGAUAAGUAUUUAUAGUCGAGCCAUGAGGGUGCAUUCCGUCUAAGAUGGCUAUUGGAGCAAUUUAAGUAUAAUGAUUCAAAACUUAUGUAUUUCUGCAUCCAAUUUGUAUGAUUCAUGCGGAAAACAAGCAAAUGAGAAAAGCAUCUAACAUAGAAACUAAUGAAGCCUGGCGAUAAGGUUUCCGUAAUCCAAUGGCCUAUGGGGCAUUUAGUUCGGGACUUGGUGGUGGCACACAUUGCUCUACACAAGCAACUCGAGAGUCGAAAAGACUUCUGAUGUAACUAGUAAGAUGCCCGUGCUACGCUACGGAAUCAAAAAGAAGGCAUGAGUGCAAUGCUAGGGGACAACGAAAUAAUGUAGGAGACAUUGAUCAAAAUGAUGUUAUACAUUUGAAUAUUUGAUCGGUACACAUUGGGAACAAUCAAACAUACGGGCUUCCAUUUUCACCUUGGAAGAGGACUUGUUCUUCCUACUCGGCUUUCCCUCUGUCCGCUAAGUCCUAUAUCGAGGUGUCCGCUAGGGACAGAGAGCAUUUCGCAAUAGCUAACAAGUCCACAUAUCUGGCAAUAGUGAAUUUGUGAUGACACCUAACUCCAAAUCUGUCUAUGUCUUUGUUCCACCUCACUUGACAUGUGCUCGACCUCAAGCACACAUCAUUUUCCGCUAGAAAUGGUGACACAUUAAGCAUAUCACUUUGGACUAACCUUAAUAUCGAUAAUGAAAGAACGACAACACCACAAUCUCAUUAUCUAUCCCCAAGAGUAUGUGCAAUGGAGGUAUGGCAACAAGUUACUUCAUCCUCCGGCUUCAAUCCAAUGGGGCCAACAUGUUCACAUCUCCUCUUCCAUCACCUACUCAUGCCGUGCAACAUCAUAUCUCCAUGCCCAUGAGCAUUAAUACGGUCCAAAAUGCCACCCAUGGGUGAGAAUUAAGAUGAAAAAAGAACAUGCAUAAAAUAUAGGAUAUAUAACUUGCAUACAUAAGAUACUAUAUACAAGUUCAGAAAGUUUUUUCAUGUACAUGAAUUUGGCACUUCAAUGAACAUUAAUGCCUCAACCUCGCCGCAAGAUUCCAUAGAAAUAUAGGUUCAGUUUGAUGAUGCCUCAACCUCACCGCAAGAUUCCAUAGAAAUAUAGGUUCAGUUUGAUGACCCAAAGUGGCCGUUGUCGGUUUCAUUGAUAGAAGGAACAAAUACUUUACAAACACAUGAAAAGUAGAAGGCAAUACACACAUCAGCCGUUAGCCCAUUAAACUAUGGCAAAAUGAUGUGUCGUGCUUCAGCCUCCUUUCAACAUUGGAUUACUCAAUGGCAAAUGCACGCAAGCACCGCAGCAAAUAACUCUGAAUUGUGAAAUAUGCAGCGGUGGCUGUUGCGCUCACGCCAAAUCACCCAAAUCAUCAGCAUGGGCACAACAAGAAAUCUCCAAAAACAUAUUAUUAUGUUGCCUUUAAUCCAAGGAUUCAACAUUGCUCAUUUCUUGCUAUUUAGGCACACCAAUUUUGAAUGUUAAGAUAAAUAGCAUAAUAUAUUCAAAUAACAUACAUACUAUAGCGAGCUUUGAGCACACACUUAUAGAAGGUUCCUUACGAAACAAGAAUUAAGUAAAGGUGUUUGACUGAAUACUUUGCUGAAUAUGAACAAGAAGCAUGAAUCUGUACACAGCACCACCAUGAAGAGAAUAAAAUGUCAGGCAUAACUCACACAGCUAGUUCAACUUACAUAGUUACAUACCAUAGGCAUCUAUCAGGUCAUGGAAUCGUUUGUCAAGCAUAGUGUAUCCUUCUUUUUCUUGUUUGUUCAAAACAUCAGCGCGAAAAUAUUAGCUCUUGAGCCCUCACUUCAUCUAUCUUCUCACCUAAAAACACCUAAAAAGAUAUCGGACAAUCAGUAUUGCAUGUAUAAUGGUCUGUAGUAUAUUUAGGCAAAGGAAAAAUUAACAAGCCUAUAGAUGAUCUGUAGUAUUUUGGCGAAGAUUUUUUUUGACAAAAGUGUUAAACUACAAUAUUUGUUUAGCAAGUGGACAGAAGGACAAAUAUUCCUUAAACUAAAAGACAACUACUUAGGAUCCCAAUGCUCUAAACAUACUAAAUUAAAAAAAAAUCUAGUGGUUUUUGCCUCGCGACACUGAAAUAGUAUUCAACAUAAACAAAUUUGUACCAUUUUAUAGGGAAUAAAACUGCCGAGAGACUAUAUAAUGCACCAAAAUCUGAUUUGUCGCGUCGUCUCCGACUCCACUUUGAGCGGUCAUUCUCAUCUCCGGCCAUGGUGGGCCAGCCCACGAUGUGGUGCGUUUGGUUGACUAUCUGACGCAAUGAGCUUCGAGUAGAAUUUCCCUCGCCAUGUAUCUAAACUAAUUAAGAUAAAUGAAGAUAUACGUCUUUAAAUAAUGUUUACAACAAUUAUGCUGGUUCAUGUAGGUUUAAGAGUCUACUAUCAUGAAAGAAAAGAAUCACACAGUUUUCCCUGUGAUUCCAAUCAUAUAUAACUUGCACAACAUCAAAAUUUACUUGCAGAAGUUAAAAACUGAUAUAUGAACUCACAUGAUCAAGGAGAUGUUAGGCACAUGUUGAAGUCAUGAAAAAACUAUCUAAAGCAACAUUUCACUAAUUAUCACAUAUCUGACCACACAUCAGAAGGUUAUUACUAAUGCUACAUACAUUUCAUCAAUUAGCACUUCCAAAUAGAUCUCACACAACCACACAGGUAUGUAUUUUUUUGUAAAAGAGGUUAUUUCAGACUGCGUUCAGUACACAAUAAUAUAUAGCGGACUGGGAAGUAAAUUACUUGAUACAACAAAGAGAAAAAGCUUAUCUCUCUUCCUUUAGUGUGUGACUCAAGAACUUCUCUACUUGCAAAUAUAUUUAGCCAUGCUUGAUCAUGCUCCUCUAUACCUUGCACCAAAUCAUCCCAAGUACAAAAAUCUGACAAAUGUCGCAAUGAAAAAGGGUAUGAAUAUUGACCUGAGGGGAUGGUACAGGUUUCUGCAAAAAAUUAAAUAGGAAGUCUGAAUCCACUGGUGACAACAUACUUUGCAGAUCCACAAACAAUUUGUUGCUAAAAAUUUCACAAAUCACAUGUUUAGAGACCAUAAUUUCAAUCAUGAACGGAUCGGGCACACAACUGUACUCCAAAAACUUGACAAUUUUUUUGAUCUGGUAGGAGAAAAACAUGACUUACGGGGAGUUGAGCGUGGUUGGGGACAGUCACAGUGGAUCAAGGUAGUUGACAUCGGCGCGGCCGGAAACAAACAGGCCGCCCCUAGAAAGCUCUGCAUCUGCAAUGCCAGGAUGUCUCGUGGCGUUCCUGCCGCUGGUAGCCUCCAUUGGAGGCACGGAAGAAAGGGAAUCAUGUUGGAGGUUGAGAACCAGAGCCUGCAUAAAAUGGAAUGAGUGGACAGGCUCCGAACGGAGAACAAAGAAUAUAUACUGCACUAUCCUCUCAGUCUCCGAUAUCUUGCGUGCCCAGGUCUAGAAGGAGAGGUCGUGGGUAAAGCUCGAAGCAUAAUGUAAUACAGGUAUAGGGAACAGUAGCAGUUGGAAAAUUCAGCAGCAGACACACCUGCGGUGCAGCCCAAGCUCGCCCUGUUGCAGAUCGAGCACUCUCAACACUGCCUCCUCCUGCCGGCACACCCUUCUUCAACAAGCAGACACAGCAGCAGCAGAUGAACUUGUCCUGCGGUAGCCUCCGAUCCGGCAGCUUCUUCUCCAGCUACCUCGCGAGGCGAGGAGGGGCGGCUGGGCCCAUGUUGGCGAGGGGGCUGCGGGGCAGGCCAGCAGGCUCGCGCAGCCCACCAUGCGACCCUGGGUCACGCGCUGGAGCCGAGCCGAUGCAUCGAGCAAGGGGGCCGAUGCGGCGGCGGCUGCCGUGGGGACAUAGGACACAGGCGGCGGCAAGGGACUUGGCGGCGAGGCUUGGCUCAUGGUGGACCGGAUCCAGAGCGAGGGAAGUUCGGGAGGCAGCGGAGGAGAGCGGUGACGCGAGAUCCCGGCGGCGACGAGGAAUUUGGGAGGGGUCUAGAAGACUCUGUUUCUUUCUUGAGAGGAGGAGAAAGGAGAAGAGACAGCCCGUUGGAACUACCGGGCACCAGGUGGUGUUGUGUAUGGAUGUCCCUGCUCCAAAAUUCUGUCCGAGCACAGGGUGUUUUUUGAAAAAGUGCAAGUAGCACGAUUCUCAGGUUAAAAUAAAACGAGUAAAUUUUAUUUCUGUUCUUGUUGGGAGAGAUUAAAUUCAAUAGGUUACUUUGCUAACAUUAAAAAAAAGAUGAUUAGACACUGUGAUAAUCUAGAAUUGCACAAAGCGUGCAAAUUUUGAGCGUCUUACAUUAGUUUACAAAGGGAGUAUUUGCAAAUAUAAUAGAAACAUUGCAGAUAGUAGUUAAAAUAAAACGAGUAAACUCCGUGAGCUCAUAUACCAGCAUCUCAAAACACCCAAAGAGAUGACGAGGUAACAACAUCACUAAACGCAGCUACACAACCCACAAUCACCUUCAGAGAAUCUUAGCAAAACUAAAAGGAAAAUUCAAUAUGCGUAUACAACAGCAAACCAACCUUCUCAAUCUGCAGGUAACACUUUUUUAGUGGUAGAUGCAAAUAACACAUCCACAAAGCAUCUCAGAAGGAUGGUACGAUGGAGCUCGCGACUACGAGCCCCCAUCCCAACCCCCGACCCCGCCGCCACCACUUCCUCCCCUCGUCGUACCGGAGAACGUAUCCUGUGCACCAGACGUACUGGUGCACCAGGUGCUCCGCUGCUACAUCAGCCGUUGGAUUAAAAAGAGAGGGGCAGGAUGCGGUGCAAAUGGAGCUGCUGGUAAACUUUGCAAAACAGACCUCCAAGUAUAGCUAAAUCAAGCUAAUUGACCCCCCGUUCUGAGUUUGUCAAUCUCGCUUCCAUCUUGUGUACCAGUGCCUCGAGCUAGGAUUAAGAGAAAUAUGGGCAAGCUGCACAUCUCUCUCUCUCUCCAUGUCCUCCAUCUCCCUCCCUCUCUCCGACUUCCGAUGCUGAAGCACCACGAGCCUAGGAUCCAAAUCAUGUACCAGAUCAUGCUAAUUAGGAGCCAGCCACCAUCUUUUUACUGCUCUUAAAAAAAAUCUUUUUACUGCUAAACGAUAUCUGCGGUAUAAGCUCCAAAUUUGUUUCUUCUGUUAUGCACGUACAGUCUAUUUUUCCAAUCCCUUCAGUUUGCCCAAUUUGUUUGAAACCAAUGGCAUUUGGAUUGAAUAGUAUGAGCGCCAAAUCUUACCACUAAUUAUGACCGAUAGUGGAAAAAGUAGACGAGGGAGAUGUGUUCUUUCUGACUUUUUGUUCUGAUUUCUAUACAGUUUUCAUGUACACUUGAUAAUUUUAUAGUAAGGUUUGUACAUGAAGGGACCUGACAUGUGUGUGAUAAAAUGAUGACCUGGGAGUCUGCAUACAUGGCAAGAGUAGGUUAAUUACUAGUUGUUCAUGUGAUGUUCUUGGACAUGAACUACUAAUGUAUUAUGUUCUUGUUAUCCACUUUAAUUUGUUCAUGAUAAAUGGAAAGGGCCUUUAAAAUGUCCAGUCAAGCUCUCUGUCGCAUCACUAGUUAAAAAUGUUCCUCAAUUUGUAUCACAUUGUUCCUUUUCUCUGACGUAAAAAUCUUGAUGUGUGCAGCUAUGUUGUAGGUUACUCCAGUUCUCCAAAUCCUAUCAUAAUUACCCAUCAAGAGAUAUGGUCGAUGUAGUAUGUCUUAUUUUCAAGCAUAUUUUUAGCUGGAUGGCAGUCCAGCAGGAGUGACUUGAUUAAAAUCUUGACAGGACCCAUACCUGAAUUUUGAGAAAUACCUAUGGCUGACUUUGUGUAUGAUGGACUGAGAAAAAUCUUGACAGGACCCAUACCUGAAAUAUGUAAUGUUUAAGAUGUAUCAAAAUCUUCUUUAUUGCUUUUCAAGUAGCAGUAUUACUCUGCUGUAGAUUGCAUACGAAGGCAUGUCUCAUCUUCCUUUAUACAUUUGUUUGACCGGCUUCUUUUAAACUGUGCAUAACACCUCGGAAAAUAUAAAAGAUGUGUUUUUGUAUCAGCUUAUCUAACUGUUGCAUGAUUGCUCAUUGCUGACUUUGGCAAAAAAAAAAGCAAAAUCUUCAUGUAAUUUAUUUUUCAUACAAUUGGAAAAUCUGCUUCAAGAACACAUUAUAUAUUCUGCCUCUCUUGUACAGAUGUCUGCAGCAACAUUUCUAUUUUGUCAUGCAAACUGAGGCUUGAAUCCUAGUCCUAGAUGGAUAAAGGAGUAAACUUCAUCUUGUGAACUGAUACCCAACUGCUUUCCCUCUUCAUUCCACAAAGAUAGGAUUUGGCAAUCUGUUUCAACAAGCACCUUAGUCGUCGAUGAAACACUUGCAUAAUUUCUCAUGGCUCAAUCUAUUUUCUCACUAAUGACAUCUUGGGGGUCUACAACCUUACAAUAAGAGGAAAUGAAAUGAGUUCAUUCAUGUAAACUUGGGAAGAUAACUUCAAUAAUUAAUACAUCAGUGUGAACAAGGUACCUUGCCGACGUGCUUCUAACCAAAUAAUUGUUGGUUCAUUGUUGUAAACAAAGAGUAAUCCACAUGCAAGACAAUAUGAGAACUUUCAAAAAAAAUAUAUAUAUAUAUAUUCAUGAUUUUUUCAUAGAGCACUUGUACUAGUGUACUAAUAUUGUACCUUGAUUCGAAUUAAUGGAAGUUUGGGCUCUAAUCCACUGGUUGUUGGUUGACUACUCUUUUCAGUCAGAAUUCUUACCUGAAAUCAGUACUGCCUGAAAUUGAGGAUAACCCGUUUUUAUUUUCACAAAGGAAUUUUACCAGACUGAAGAAACUGGCAAACAAGACAUUAUCGAACCAUUCACACAGAGGCCACAUGCUUGCAGGAAACGGGACAACAUCUGGAAUUCUAGACAGAAAACCUGAAACUCGCAAUUUUUUGAAAUGAAAAUAGAGGCAAUAUCAUAAGAGUCGACAUCUGCUACAUCUGUACCGUCGACAGCGCCAAGCCCUAACGAGCACCGUCGUGUAGAGGAAUAGCUGAUGGGAAAGAGGUGGGGGGAAGGGUGAAGAGGGAUCGCACCGAAGGUGGUUGCCGCCAUCGAGAUUGGAAGAGAUCUCGCAGCACCAUGGAUCAUAGCUCGACGACUUGGUACAGAAAAAGCGAAUCCCAUGGAAAGAGGAACAGGAGAUGGGGAAGAGACGGUAUGUUUGUUGAGGACUACUUACAUCUUUCAAUGAUUCUGCAGGGUCCUAGAUAUAAAAUGUACCGACAACCCUGAUUGUGAUAAAUCUGUUCCAUCUAUUCUCUAUCCAAUGGACCAGAAUCUAUCGGUGCAUUCGUUGCACUAAUUCAACCGUUGCAUGAGAUACGUUCUUCGUCGUACCGUCCUUAAGACGCGCUGCUAGACCGCCCGCCUCUUCUUCUCUGGUCCGGGCAGAGCUGCUGCUUCCUCGCCGGAGACUGCAGUGUGUCUUCUCCUCCACAUCGCACCCCCAUGCGGACGUCAGGGACGAUUCUUAAGGGGGGACGAGGGGGGGCUAGACCCCCCCUAACGAUCUCGUCACCCCUUAAUAGCGAUUAGGUACCACAUAUAAUUUUCUUCCUAAGCACAGAAUUCUGGUUGUCUCGCCCCUCCUAUGAUCCAUCCGGCCAUCACACAACGUGAGGCCUAUAGCCCAUGUACAUGGCCAGCGGCCCCAAUACAGGAAAAAAUAAAAAUAAAAACAGCCCACGUGGAAGACAAGGAGUCUAGAAGCAAUACGCACGACCACCAGCGAGUUCACGAUGUACGCACGAUCGUUUCGUUCCCACAAUGUGCUCAUUCGUCGUUCCUCGAUUCCUGCGAUUGGAAAAACUUCCUAGCCGCCGCCCGCCCGCCCAGUAGAUCUAGACAGGGACGGAGCUAGGAUUUUAACAUGGAGGGGGCGAGAUUUUGCGCGUGGAAACUGAUUGGCAAAAAACUUAGGCAGAGACGGUUGUAGCCUAGGUUAAUGAUAGAUUUCAUCAAGGGGUGAAAAGAGAUGGUGGCUUUGAACAAUUAUUAAUUUUUUACUCCAUGAAACAAAUGCAGCUAAUGGUCUAAAUCUUUCUACUACUGAAGGGGAUAAACAAUCUAAAAUCUUGUCUCACGGAUCAUGCAUAUUCUAAUUGCAAUCUUUCUACUCCUAUAGGCACAAAUUAAUCUAAAUAAUUAAAGUAAGCCAUGGAUGAAGUAACGAAAGUGAGAAGUCCUUGCUUGCCUUAUUGCCGAUCAUGCUAGCUGUGCGGCCGAAUGGCCAGCCGUGCAUCCAAGCAACCAUUGGAUCGCCUUGCCCCCCUUCGGCAGUCUAAGUCUUGAGUUAGGAGUUACACAACGCUAGAUUGGGAACUGCCCUAGACGGCAGUUGCAUCGCAUCGGGGGCAAUUAAGAAAGGUAAACGAACGCUGAUUGCGUCUUCUGUCUUCCCAUCGUGGGCUACUGCUGCAGGGCCUUGCUAUAUAUGGGCUUUGUAGUUUUGGACUUCACGUGGUUAGGGGGGGCGAAGUUAUCCAAGCACUCGUUAUUUUCCUUUUUUUUACCCGCUACUUCAGAAUUACGUACGUAAAACAAAAUCGUUAGGGGGGGGUCUAGCCCCCCCUCGCCCCCCCUUGAAAUCGUCCCUGGAUCUAGAUCAUCCACCUCUCCAUCGAAUCUCUCCAUCCGCCGAGGAGGGAAGGCCUCUGUCCGACUCCCCGACGGCACGACUGCCCGUCGUGCCGAUCCGCAGAUCGUAGGCGCAAUCCGGUCGGCCGCACACACACGGAUGAGGGACCAGACGAUCAACAAAAGGUUAGUUUAUUUUUAGUAUUUGAUUAGUCUGUGUCUUAGAAUCUAAUUGUAGAAAUAUAUGGACAUUAAAAACUAAUUAGAUAUUCUUGUAUUGUCCAAUUAUGUGUGUGUAGACAUAUAGAGGAAGAGAACUCAGUCAAUUCAUAUUUUUCAAGUCAAUUGGUUCAAGCUCUCAGUAUUUGCCUUAUUUUGAUGUGUUCCUUAAAAACAAUGGAACUAGGAACUAGAACAUAGAAACAAUCAGAAAAAAUUGACUGUCAAAUUAUGGGUUUGUAAUCACGAAGAGAAAGAGUUUUGUUGAGAACAUUUUCUAGCCAAUUUAAACUAGUAGAAUUCUGAAGAAAUUAUCCAAUCAUGAUUUUCAUUCAAAUUAACAGAUAUGCAAAUUAUUCAUAUUGUAGAACCGCGGCAAUUUUUUGAGUAUUUAGACCCCAUGAUAUUUACUAUGCUAUAUGCCUAUAUGAUUGUCUCUUAUAUAAUUGUGAUCGACUCUUAUAGUUCAAGCCCCCCCCCCCCAUCGCUAUUUUCUGGCUCCGUCCCUNNNNNNNNNNNNNNNNNNNNNNNNNNNNNNNNNNNNNNNNNNNNNNNNNNNNNNNNNNNNNNNNNNNNNNNNNNNNNNNNNNNNNNNNNNNNNNNNNNNNNNNNNNNNNNNNNNNNNNNNNNNNNNNNNNNNNNNNNNNNNNNNNNNNNNNNNNNNNNNNNNNNNNNNNNNNNNNNNNNNNNNNNNNNNNNNNNNNNNNNNNNNNNNNNNNNNNNNNNNNNNNNNNNNNNNNNNNNNNNNNNNGCUUGACUUCCGCCUCCUCGCGUCCCCAUGCUCGUUCUGCUCGGACCGCGGAUGGCUUGGCUUUGGCUGCCUCGGCCUGGGGAUCCGCCUCUCAUCACGUCAGCUGGCUGCCUCACUCGGCCUGUCGCAGGAUGUAGGGGCCCCAAGCCGGCCCGUAUCACAUCCUCGCGAUGGAACCACGGCGCGUCUGUUGUCGCACGACGCUCCGCUUCUCCCUCUUGCGCCCCACGUCCUCUCUCCUGCCUGACGUCGGCGCCGCCCGGUGCGCCGGCCCUCCCUCCGAUCCAUGCCACACGAUAGUCCCUGCUUGCUCGCUUCCCCAUUACCGGGGAGGCACAUGCCGCCGGCGGCGUCGCUAGAUCUAUCGUCACCCAACGUGCCUGCCGAUGCCAAGCCACCCGGCGCCUGCUCACACGAUUGGAGGGCUGCGAAGGCCACCCUCGCAUUGGCCCUCGCCGUCCUGGUUUGAUCGGUGGUGGACGUCUGCUCCACUCGGCCAUCACCCAACCACUACUGAAUCACCCCACCUCCUACAUGCUUAGAGCAUCUCCACUAGUCCCCUAAGAAGCCUCCCCAAGUCACUUUUUCACCGCGGCGAGUAAAAACGGAACUGCUGCGCGGACGACAACAGUAUGCACGACAGAUGAACGAUGCGGGAUCAAACGGUCUGCUGGACUCUGCUACAUGCAUGGACGGACAGGGAUCUGUUGUCGUGCAUGAAUCGUGCGCACAGCAUCGUGUGUGUAGCACUGCUCGAGUAAAAAAGCUCCCACUCGCACCCCCAGCCCCUUAGUUUUCACCGGAUUCGACCAAAAACGACGCCGGCUUCCCCAAGGCAAAACUAGGAAGCUGGGGGGCUUAAUCUCGCCGUUUGCAGGCGCUGGCCCGCCUGCCAGCAUCUCUCUGCCGUUCUGGAUCCUCCCUUCACUUCUUUGUUUCUUUCUUGGUCGACUGCACGGAGCCAUGGCCGUCGAGCUCGCGCAGGAGGAGGCGGUGGCCGCGGCAGUCGAUGAGGAUGACGCCGUAGGCGGGCCACACGGGAAGCCGAGGCUGAGCGCGACGCCCAUGGUGGGGAUGAACGACGGCAGCGGGGCGCGCGGGACACGACGCAGCGCCAGCGGCGGCAAACCGCCGCGCACCGGCAGCCGCCUGAAGAAGUCAUCGAUGUACCCGCUCUUCAUCUUGGCAUUGAGCUGCACGACGAACGCGGGCUUGAGCGAGUCACAAUAGUCGAGGAACCUCGCUGUGAUGUCGUACCCCUCAUCCCACCGGUUGCCGCUCCCUGCGGCCUCCAGUGCCCAGGCGCGAGCCCGACCUUGAGCUACACGUAGGCGAGGCCGUCGAACUCCUCCACGACGAGGGUGACGGCGUCCACGGGCUUGCGGUCGGCCACGGCGCCCUGGUUGAAGGUGCUCCAGAUGAAGGUUGAGGCGUCGGAGAGGACCUGCUUUGAGUACGCGAGGCCGGCGGCCUGGUCGAAGCACUGGCCGCCGGUGGUGUCCGACGCCAUGUUCGACGCGUCGAACGUCACAGCCCGGGCCGACGUGGCCACGGUCACCAGGAGGAAGAUGGCUACCGUGGCUACCUGAAGCUUCAUCUUGUUUUGGCGUGUGCAUGCCGAGGCUUUGAGCGUGCGCGGCGCGGAUGGAGGACCCUGCGGCGGUGGUGACGCCCAUGACCAUCGACUUCCUCCGGGCACGCUUGCUCUUGGAGCGCUCUGUCUCUCGCGCAUCCAAGGAGCGCGCCGACCAGCUCGCUGCCAGGGUACGUAUGAUGUGCCCGCAUGCACCGGAGUAGCGCCUGGUGUACGUGGUGCUCGCCGCGGGCAUGAGGACGGAGCAUCGGCGGUCGAGCUCGGAGACCGCGGCGGUGCAUGGGUCCGCAAUGCACGCACGUCCCGGGGAUGUUGGUGCCUCCAGCAUUGGGAGCACGCCAAGGAAAUGGGAGGGGGCAGUGGUGCAUGCGAGAGCUCGGAGACCGCGGCGGUGCGCUGCUCCGCCUGCUCGUUGCUACCUGGGGGGCCAACGACUGGAAGAAAUUUCAGCCCCGGAGUAAAAUUCUCGCCGGCAGGCCCCCAAGCGGCGAAAAAAUGCCUCCUGGGGGGGCAACGGCUGGAGAUGCUCUUAGGUAGUUGAUCCUUGCGUUCUGUUGUAGAUGGUAAUUGGGUUAUUUUGAGUUUUUCUGUUUCUUGCCUUGGCAGGAUGUACUUGCCACUUGGGUUUGGUUUUCGAUCCGGUUUUUCACAUAAGCUGGAUCAAGGUUUUUGAACAGGUUUCCCGUAUAAACCAGCUCCAUUUCAUUGAAUAGAGAUCAACAUUCAGGUAGGGAUCCCCCCAAACCCACCCGACAUAUUAAAAAAACAUCUUGAAAGCUUAUCUUAACAUUCCAAAAUGUAUAGCAAAUCUCUAACACCUUCACAGGUACCAAAAAGCCAGAUGCCAGUGGUCCAUUCCAAAAGCACACCAACACACUUGCCACUAACAUUCAACGUAACAACAACAAAAAAAGAUCUACCACAUGCACUCAAAUCUGCGUAGCAAUAUCACGUCAGCUCGCAAAUGAAGAUGGAACCCCAAUCCAUGCCAAAUUUUAUCCUAGUAGAACGCAUGCUGCCCUUCAAAGCCCAGGAACGUAAGGGCAUGUACAAUGCAUAGCCCCAUGAUGAUGCCUCGCAUGUCAUGUAGGAUCGGAUAUCAGGUAAAGUAGGUUCGGAUAGGGAAGUGGGAUCCUCUGCAGGAGGCAGGUGCUUGGAGAGAAAAAAGUGUUGUCCGGUGUCAAAAGUUGAAAAGGCGAGUCUUUAUUUUCUAUUUCUUAAUGAGGCUCACUAGUUAUAGCUUGCAUUGGGAGAAGAAAUAAAUGUAGGUGCCUCAAACUACUUCUUGUAGCGGGACAUAUGUAUUGUACAUGCCCUAACUCCAGACCCCACGAACGCCUCACAACACCACGAAUUAUAGACCACGGAACGUCAUGUGUGCGGAGAGGGGGAGAUCGCGUCACCUUUGGAGCAGCGGCCCUUGGGGAUGGAGGACGGCACUACGACGCGGUUGUGGUUGCCUCGGGCACCCGCCGAGCCUCUCGACGUGGAGGGCGACCCGACCGCCUUCUCCAGGUGCUUAUCGAGCACGUCCCUGAUGCGCUUUUGGUCCAGCCCCGCCCCUCCGGCCGCCCCUUGCUUCUACAUCUGUUGCGGUGACGACGAUGAAGCCCCCCUCAACGUUGCUGCCGUGGCAGCGUCCUCUCAUGCGGGAAGCGCCAUCUGAGGUUAGGGUUGGGGUGGCAGGGGGAGGGGGCAGGCACAGGGAGGGAGGAGAAAAUUGGAUAUUUACCACUUCCAAUACGUGCCUUCUCAAAAUUGCCACUUCCAAGAUGGGUUUCGCAAAAUUGCCACUUUGCUCAUUGGCUCCUUGAUUACCACUUCCCUUUUUUUAGUGAUUUUCUUUUUUUCUUUUCCAUUUAUAAGCACGGGAAAAGACCAAACUACCCCUAAUUCUAUACACAUACGUACUAUCCAAUCUUGAAAGUGGCAAUUUUGAGAAGCCACGUAUUGAAAGUGGCAAAUAUCCAAUUUUCUUGGGGAGGAGAAAAUUGGAUAUUUGCCACUUUCAAUACGUGGCUUCUCAAGAUUGCCACUUCCAAGAUGGCCUUCGCAAAAUUGCCACUUUGCUCAUUGGCUCCAUGAUUACCAUACCACUUCUCUUCUUUUAGUGGUUUUCUUUUUUCCUUUUCCAUUUAUAAGCAUGGGAAAAGACCAAAUUACCCCUAAUUCUAUACAUGUACAUACUAUCCACGUUCUAAUUGAUAGUAUGAUACUAAUUAAUACGAGAGCGCACCGGCCGCCAAGAAUAAUGUGUGUGUUUGCAUCAUCGAUCUCCUCGGCGCAGGCUGCCGCAGAUGGCUUAGACGUCGCGUGUCGCCGAUCUUCUCAAUGUCCCGUGCCGCCGAUCUCGUCAACGUCGUGUGUCGCCGCGUCCAUGGGUUGUGGAUGGUAUCGUAUCGAGCCUUAUCCCACUUUGUUCAAAAAUCUGUAGCAGUUGAUCUCUAAAAGUGCAACUAAUCCCUGGGUGGUUUUGGUAAUUCUUAACAACAUAUAGUUCAUUGAACUAAUGCUAUUUCAAGAUGAUAAUUUCAGAAAGUUCAAUGAUUGGCAUGGCAUGGACUAGAGAUGUGGACCCCUCAAAAUGCAAAGGACAUAUAUUGGCAACAAGCUUAAGACUACAUUUUCGUUUUAGUGAUCCAAGAUCACAUUGAGUCCAUAGGAAAGCCAAUACUAUUAAAAGGGGAUGAGGUGUCGCUUAAUGGCUUACUUACUCAAAAUUCUUAGUGAUAUGCUCCAAAACCCUCAACCACUUUCUCAUUUCCACAUAGUCCUAAACCUAAAGUCAAAUUCGGCCCCACCGAUUUGAUCUAUCCAGCGCCACCGAGUUUCAUUUGACAUAGCCAUCGCCACAAACCCUAGUUACUUCGGUCUCACCGAGAUGGGAUUGCAAACUCUCUAUUUCCUUUUUGUAACAUUUUGGUCUCACCGAAAUGAGCAAAUCGGUCCCACCGAGUCUGCAUUGCAAACUCCCUAUUUCCUUUUCGUAACACUUUGGUCUCACCGAAGUGAGCAAAUCGGUCCCACCGAGUUUGCCUGACCAACCCUCUGUUACCUAUUGCCGAGAUCGGUCCAACCGAGUUUAUGCUAUCGGUUACACCGAGAUUACGUUAUGCCCUAACCCUAGCAUAUCGGUCUCACCGAGAUGACUAUAUCGGUCCCACCGAAAAUCUAACGUUCAUAUUUUGACCUAAAUCGGUCUAACUGAGUUUGUUGAUUUGGUCCCACCGAGUUUGGGAAUCUGUGUGUAACGGUUAGAGUUUGUGUGGAGGCUAUAUAUACCCCUCCACCCAGUCUUCAUUCAUGGGAGAGCUAUCAGAACAAACCUACACUUCCACUACUCAUUUUCUGAGAGAUAACCACCUACUCAUGUGUUGAGACCAAGAUACUCCAAUCCUACCAUAUGAAUCUUGAUCUCUAGCCUUCCCCAAGUUGCUUUCCACUCAAAUCAUCUUUCCUCCAUAGCCAAAUCUAUGAGAGAGUUUUGAGUGUUGGGAAGACUAUCAUUUGAAGCACAAGAGCAAGGAGUUCAUCAACAACACACCAUCUAGGGAUGGCAACAGGGCCCCAUACCCGCCAAACCCUUGGGGAUUUCAUCUAUUAGGGGGUGGGGAUGGGCGAAAAACAUCCCCAUUGGGAUAUUUACCAAACUAAUUUAUUCCCCAUAGGGUACAAUGGGGAUGGGGACGAUAUCAUAUUCCCCAGACCCAAUACCCAUCGGGGACCCGGUUAGUAACCGUGACACUGCGGUCAACGUUAAAAUAUUCACAAACAAACUUGCGAAAACAAAAAAAGCUCUGAAAAAAACCUUAAACAUAUCUCACAUCCUCACUUCAGCUGCCACCAUGACCAAGAAGUCAAUACGACCUAGAUAAGCAUUAGCAGGACAAGGACAACACCAUGUAUUUAUGUUGAUCAUAGGGUGUCAUAUUAUGUAUAUGAGUAAGAUAUUCUUGAUGAUGAAUUUGUCGGUCAUCUCUUCCCUUCCUAAGCCGACAAUUUCAUUUGUGAUGAGAACAAGCCUAGAGUACAUUUCGGUGACACCUUCACCAUCCUUCAUUUUGAACUUGUCAAGUUGACUUUGGAGCACAUCCAACUUGGAUUCCUUGACGGAGUCGCUACCUUCGUGCAUAUCAAUCAAAGUAUCCCAAAUUUCCUUUGCAUUCUCAAGACGGCUGAUUUUGUUGAAUUCCUCGGGGCACAAUCCGUUGAAGAGGAUAUCGCAAGCUUGAGCAUUGUAUUGCAACAUCUUCAAUUCUUCCGUGGUAGCUUCACGGUUUGGUUCUCUCCCAUCAAAGAUUCACCUUGCAAGCCAAUACACACAAUAGCCCAAACGACGAGGUUAUGUCCAAGAAUAUGCAUUUUCAUCUUAUGUUUCCAACUAGCAAAAUUAGUACCAUCAAAGUAAGGACCUCUACGGUGGUAAUUUCCCUCGCUAGACACCAUACUCUCCUAGGUUGUGAAACCAAGGCUAUGAUCACCAAAGCUAUGGAAAUCAAGGCAAAUGGAGACCAAAGCUCUGAUACCACUUGUAGGAUCGAAAGUAUGUCUAGAGGGGGGUGAUUAGACUACUUGACCAAACAAAAACUUAACCUUUUCCCAAUUUUAGUUCUUGGCAAAUUUUAGCAACUUAGCACAAGUCAAGCAAUCUCAAUACAAUUCAAGCAAGCAUGCAAAGAGUAUAUGAGCAGCGGAAAGUAAAGCAUGCAACUUGCAAGAAAGUUAAUGGGCGGAGUUUGGAGGGAGCAAACGCAAUGUUGACACGGAGAUUUUUGGUGUGGUUCCAAUAGGCGAUGCUAGUACAUCCAUGUUGAUGGAGACUUCAACCCACGGAGGGUAACAACUGCUCGAGUCCACGGAGGGUCCACGAAGAAGCAACCUUGUCUAUCCCAUCAUGGCCAUCGCCCACGAAGGACUUGCCUCACUAGGGUAGAUCUUCAUGAAGUAGGCGAUCUCCUUGCCCUUACAAACUCCUUGGUUCAACUCCACAAUCUUGACGGAGGCUCCCAAGUGACACCUAACCAAUCUAGGAGAUACCACUCUCCAAAAGGUAAUAGAUGGUGUUGUUUAUGGGGAUGGGGACCCUAAUGGGGCCCCGUUCCCCAGUGGGGCAUGGGUAUGGGGAAAUUUUUAUCCCCAGUCAUGUAAACAAGGAUGGGGACGGGAUGAUAGGGAAUUGAUGGGGAUGGGGAUGUUGUAGGUAUCCCCAUAGGGGAUUGUCCCCAUUGCCAUCCGUAAUCUUGAGAGCCUUGAAUGGAAAAUAUGAUACCGUGUGCACAUUGAUCCAAAUGAUGCCAAAUUACAAAGAUCUCAAGCCAACCGAAGUCAUUGGAAGAAUUGUUGCUCAUGAGAUGUCACUCAAGGACAAAGAAGAGCUUCACAAUGAAUCUAGUGGUGCUUACAAAGCCUCAUGUGAUGCUCCUACAUCAUCAAAUGAGAAACAAGCCUUCAAUGAAUAACUGAGCUUAAUGGUGAAGAACUUCAACAAAUUCUAUAAGAGUAGAAGCAAGGAAAGAAGUUCCAAGUCAAGGUCCUACAAUGACAAAAGAUCUUCUAGUCAUGAGCGAAACUGCUACAAUUGUGGAAGACCCGUACACUACUCCAAUGAGUGCUCCCUACAAAACAAGAGAAGACUCACCAAAAAGACAGAGCAAAAGGGAAGAAUCACCUCCAAGAGAGAGAAGGAGUAGGGAUGAUCGCUAUGAACGAAGAACCUCUCGAAGAAGCAAUGAUUCGAAAAGGAAGGACAAGUCAUCAAGGAGCUACACAAAACGAAGACAUCAAGCUCAUGUUGGUGAAUGGGUAUCCGGCUCUGACUCCGACCACCACUCUGAGAGAAGUUAUCACUCCAACUCCAAAUAUACUCAAGAUGAAGGUGUUGCCAGUCUAGCACUUGUGUCAACCAACUCCUAUGACAUAUUUGAUUCACCAAAUGAAGGAAUUGGGAGAUUCUUCAUGGCUAAAGGCCCCAAGGUAACACACCCCGAGUAUGUUGAUUUCAAUAGUGAUGAUGAUUUACUUGUUGACAACUCUGGUGAUGAAUACUAUGAUGAAACAUCAACUAAUCAUGCUAAUCAAGAUAAAAUGAAUGAGAAUGAUAAGAAGGAUAUUGAGCGUCUAACUAAAGAACUAAACACUCUUAAGUUAGCUCAUGAAACUACUUUAGAAGAUCAUCGGGAACUUCUAAAAACUCAUGAGAAGUUAUGCUUCAAAAAGCUCAAUCUUGAGCAAGAGCAUGAGUUCUUAAAGGCCAUCAAUGAUGAUAUUCGGAAGAAAAGUUCUUCUUACAUUGCCAAGUGUUUACUCUUGUCUACUUACAUGCCACAAGUAAAAUCUAGCAACAAGAACAAGAAAGAAUCUUCUUCUAGUAGUAAAAAUAAUCAUGCUAAAUCUAAUAUUGUUGCUUCUAGUAGUUCUCUUGAUUCCACUAAUGAUUCUCUUAGCCAAGUUACACUUGAGCAAGAAAAUAGCUUAUUGAAGGGAAUUAUAGAGAAAUGUGUUUACAAAAGCCUUGCCGUGAGUAAGCAAUUUGAGGAAAUUGUACGCAAGCAAGGAAGGCACCGGAAGAAUCAAGGUGUUGGUUUUGAAAGAAAGUUCAAUGCCAAUGGAGUUGAGUGGGAAGAAGAUCAAUACCCCAAGACAAAGUUUGUUCCUCAACAAGAGAAGUAUGACCCUACUUCCUUCAAGGGGACACAAGCUCAAGAUGAUCUUCCACCACAAGACCACAAGCUAAAAGGCAAUGACAAGCUUCAAGAAGAUAUUGAUGCAUUUGAAGAUGCUCCGAAGGCCUUGGUCAAGUGGGUUCCCAAGACUACAUCAAGUUCUACUUCAUCAAGUACAUCUACAACUCCAAGGAUUCCCAUCAAGAUGAUGUGGAUCCCGAAGAAGAAGAACUAGAGAGUUCUUGAGGGUGACUCCGCCAACAUACUUCACUCAUAUUUAUUUUGGUAAGGACAAGUGCAAACAACUUGCACAUCUUGUGCUAGUUCAAGGAGUCACAAACCCUCUUGUUGGUAAGACAAGGGACAAGGUAACCUAAUGCUUCCAUGGACAUCAUCAUGUGUGUGCUUCACUCUAUGUCUAUGGAUAUCCUUGUUUGUUCCUUGUGGGACUAACCCAUGUAGGUAUUGAAAGUGCAGCUCACUCCAAUGAAUUGCUUCAAAUGAUCUACAUUAACAAUGAGCAUCCACAUCUUCGAUAUCUACAUGAAGUCACCAUCGACAAAACCCAAGGUUAGUUGAUCCCUGUUAAGGGGGGAUAUCACAUCUAGCGGGAGCUUUACUCUAAGAAUUGAGCUAAAGCAACUCUAAUGGUGUGAACACAACAAUGCUUUAUGUAAAAGUGGUAACCCCACUUGUGCUUAAACGAUGAGUAUGACCUAUGAUCAAAUGUUCUCUUUUGACUCCUAAGUCAAUAUACUCAUACAUAGAUGGCCUAGUCAUCGCCAAUUGCUUGAUAGAUGCUAGAGUGAUUGUGCAUGCUUUGCCAGAUAUUUCAUUUAUUUUAUUGUGUGAGCAUGUUGGUUGCAUACUUUUCUCAUUCGAGGAUAUCCAUUUGUUGCUUUGAUUGUUUGGAGUUUCUUCUUUUUGCCAAAUGGAUGGACAAGAAUGCCUAAGAACUCCCUCUAGCUAUCUAUGCUUUUCUCUUCUCAAAUUCUAUUCAUGCUACAUCACAAAGUUUGAUCUAAGUCAAAUUCAAACCCUCCGUGUGAGGAGCACUCGGAGUACCGUCUUGUCAUAGACUUAAAACUUCCAAAACCUCUUUGUGUAUUUUGGUCUGACCAACUCCUCCAUUUCGGUCACACCGAGUUCACUGGGUUGAUCAAGUUUUCAAUCUCGGUGCAAUUGAUUAGAACAUUUCGGUCUCACCGAGUUGAAGUAACCGCUUGCGAUUCUGUAUCUCGGUGCCACCAAGUUGUUCCACUCAGUCACACCGACAAUGUUAGGAAAUAUAUACUAACGGGCCAGAUUUUGGAAAUCACUUCAAAACCUCUUCGCCCGUGCGUGUCCUGCUCUUCCUCGGGUCUCCGGAUUGUCACCUCGUCGCCAGCGACCUCCCGCCGCUGGUCUCUGCCGCCGUCAACGUAUUUCAAUGCCGCCGUUGCCGCCAUAGCAAACUCACCACCGAGCUAGGGUAUGAGUUCGAACCCUUGUGCAUUCUUUUUACCUCAGAUUCUGAGCACAAGGUCAAUGCCAUGUUCUUUACCACGUAUGAGAUCGAUCCAUCCACAGAGAACUUCCAUUAGACUAGAUUUGAUUUGAAAAUUUAGGGUUAGGUUUCCGUCGGACUCAUCUUGGACCGACCGAGUUGUAGGAAUCGGUUCCACCAAUUUGGCUUAGGCAAAGCACAAGUGAUUUUCGGUCUGACCGAAAGUUGCAAAUCGAUGUGACCGAUACCAGGACUUUGUGAAACCCUAGCAAACUCGGAGUCACCAAACUGUGUCUUGGUCUGAUCGAUUCCACAUGUUUAGACUCCAAAAUUGCUUCGGUAUCACCGAGUUUUACAAAUCGGUAGCUCCGAAAUGCUUCCUGUAGAAAACUAAAACUAAGUUUUGACUCAUUCUUUUUGCAAAAACUCCGCACUUUGUGAUGCUCAUUUACUCUACCUCAUCUACAUCUAUUCACAGGGUCUGCUGUCAGUUUGCUUUGCCAGAAUGUCUGAGUAGAGUGAUAGCCAGAACAAAUCAGAAGAGCAAGUGAACAUGAGUGAGGGCACUAGUCCCUCUAGUAGCUCUGAUGAUGGCAGCAGGAGCACUCCAAGCAAUUUUCCCAAGGCAGCUACAAGGACAAGGAAGAAGAGAACCUCAGACUUAGAGGAUAAGGACUAUAUGGCUGCUGAGGAGGAAGUAAGCUCCAAGAAGAAAGUGCUGAAAAAGGAAUAUGGAACUGCUGCUGCAACAAAAGCUGGUAUGCACAAGAACGCACCUUCCAAGAGAGUUCCCAUGUCAAAGGCCAGAACCUCCACUCAGGAAACUAUGGUCUUCACACUUGAGCCAAGAGCAGGUGAAGAAGGGAAGAAGAGGGUCAGAAAAACUAUAGCUAGAGUGAUUGGAAAUCCAUCUAUGAGGAAGGAUUCUGCAAGUGAGGAGGAAGAUGAAGAAGAGGUUGCUGCUCAAGCACCUCCUGCUAAGUCACAGAAGUUGAUGGGGGAUGCCAGCAAGUCUGGGGAAGUGAUAACCCGCAAGUAUAUGGGAUAGUUGUAGCCUCUUUUGAUAAGUAAGAGUGUCGAACCCAACUAGGAGCUAAAGGUAGAACAAAUACUCUCUCAAGUCCUAUCGGCCAUUGGUACGACUCUAUGCACGCUUGACAUUAGCUUUACCUAGAACAAGUAUGAAACUAGAAGUACUUUGUAGGUGUGAUAGGAUAGGUUUGCAAGAUAAUAAAGAACACGUAAAUAAAAAGUAGGGGAUGUUUAGAUAAAGAUGCAAUAAAGUAAAUAUAGAGAGUGUGGAAAAGUGGUGGUAGGAUUUGCGGAAUUGUCCCUAAGCAAUUGACUACUUUACUAGACCAAUAACAAGUUUUAUGUGGGAGAGGCCACUGCUAGCAUGUGAUCCCUGACUUGGAAUUCUAUGCACUUAUGAUUGGAACUAUUAGCAAGCAUCUGCAACUACUAACGUUCAUUAAGGUAAAACCCAACCAUAGCAUUAAGAUAUAUUGGCCCCCCUUCAAUCCCGUAUGCAUCAAUUUCUAUGCUAGGUAGAAGCUUCUGUCACUCUUGCCCUCCAAUACAUAGUCCUAUCAACAUACAACUAACCAUAUGGUGUGAUCCACACGCGCGCUCAUAUGAUGGACACCAAAGGACAACAACAUAACCACAAGCAAAUUAAAUCAAUCAUAGCAAUUCAUCAACCACCAAUAGGACAACGAAAAUCUACUCAGACAUCAUAGGAUGGCAACACAUCAUUGGAUAAUAAUAUGAAGCAUAAAGCACCAUGUUCAAGUAGAGGGUAUAACGGGUUGCGGGAGAGUGGACCGCUGUAGAUAGAGGAGGGAAGGUGAUGGAGAUGUUGGUGAAGAUGGCGGAGGUGUUGGUGAAGAUCGCGGUGAUGAUGAUGGCCCCCGGCGGCGUUCCCGCGCCACCGGAAGCAAGGGGGAGAGAGCCCCCCUUCUUCUUCUUCUUCCUUGACCUUCUCCCUAGAUGGGAGAAGGGUUUCCCCUCUGGUCCUUGGCUCCCAUGGCUUUGGAGGGGCGAGAUCCCCUCCGAGAUUGGAUCUACCUCUCUGUUUCUGUGUUCCCAGAUUCUGCCCCUCCACCGUUUCUUUUAUAUCCGGAGAUCCGUAACUCCGAUUGGGGUGAAUCUUUCGCCCAGAUUUUUCUCAUAAAAUUAGCUUUCUUGCGGCAAAAGAAGAGUGUCAACCACCUUACAGGUGGCCCAUGAGGGUGCCAGGCGUGCCCAGCGGGGAGGGCGCGCCCCCUAUCUCGUGGCCACCUCGGGCACCGUUUCGCGUUGAUUCUUCCUCCGGAAAAUCCCAAACAUUCCAAAAUAAUUCUCCGUCCAUUUUUAUCCCGUUUGGAUUCCGUUUGAUAUUGGGUUUCUGCGAAACAUAAAACAUGCAACAAACAGGAACUGACACUGGGCACUGGAUCAAUAUGUUAGUCCCAAAAAUAGUAUAAAAAGUUGCCAAAAGUAUAUGAAAGUUGAAUAAUAUUGGCAUAGAACAAUCAAAAAUUAUAGAUACGACGGAGACGUAUCAGCAUCCCCAAGCUUAAUUCCUGCUCGUCCUCGAGUAGGUAAAUGAUAAAAAAAGAUAAUUUUUGAUGUGGAAUGCUACCUAGAAUAAUCUUGAUCAUAUGUCUAAUCAUGGCAUGAAUAUUAAGACACGAGUGAUUCAAAGCAAUAGUCUAUCAUUUGACAUAAAAACAAUAAUACUUCGAGUGUACUAAUAAAGCAAUCAUGUCUUUUCAAAACAACAUGGCCAAAGCAAGCUUAUCCCUACAAAAUCAUAUAGUUUGGCCAUGCUUCAUUUUCGUCACAUAAAAUGCCCCCAUCAUGCACAACCCUGAUGACAAGCCGAGCAAUUGGUUCAAACUUUUUAACGCGCUUCAGCUUUUUCAACCCUCAUGCAAUAUAUGAGCGCAAGCCAUGGAUAUAGCACUAUAGGUGGAAUAGAAUAUGAUGGUUGGGUUUAUGUGGAGAAGACAAAAAGGGAGAAAGUCUCACAUCGACGUGGCUAAUCAACGGGCUAUGGAGAUGCCCAUCAAUUGAUGUCAAUGCGAGGAGUAGGGAUUGCCAUGCAACGGAUGCACUAAGAGCUAUAAGUGUAUGAAAGCUCAAACUGAAAACUAAGUGGGUGUGCAUCCAACUUGCUUGCUCAUGAAGACCUAGGGCAUUUGAGGAAGCCCAUCGUUGGAAUAUACAAGCCAAGUUCUAUAAUGAAAAUUCCCACUAGUAUAUGAAUGUGAUGACAUAGGAGACUCUCUAUAUGAAGAACAUGGUGCUACUCUAAAGCACAAGUGUGGUAAAAGGAUAGUAACAUUGCCCCUUUUCUUUUCUUUUUUUCUUUUUUUUCUUUUUUUCUUUUUCUUUUUUUGGGUGGGCUUCUUUGGCCCCCUUUUUUAUUUAGGCUUCUUUGGCCUUCCAUUUUUUUUCUUUUUUCAUUUUUUUUCAUGGGGCAAUGCUCUAUAAUGAUGAUCAUCACACUUUUAUUUACUUACAACUCAAUAUUACAACUCGAUACUAGAACAAAGAUAUGACUCUAUAUGAAUGCCUCCGGCGGUGUACCGGGAUGUGCAAUGAUCUAGCGUAGCAAUGACAUCAAAAAACGGACAAGCCAUGAAAACAUCAUGCUAGCUAUCUUACGAUCAUGCAAGACAAUAUGACAAUGAAUGCUCAAGUCAUGUAUAUGAUGAUGAUGGAAGUUGCAUGGCAAUAUAUCUCGGGAUGGCUAUGGAAAUGCCAUGAUAGGUAGGUAUGGUGGCUGUUUUGAGGAAGAUAUAAGGAGGCUUAUGUGUGAUAGAGCGUAUCAUAUCACGGGGUUUGGAUGCACCAGCGAAGUUUGCACCGACUCUCGAGGUGAGAAAGGGCAAUGCAUGGUACUGAAGAGGCUAGCAAUGAUGGAAAGGUAAAAGUGCGUAUAAUCCAUGGACUCAACAUUAGUCAUAAAGAACUCACAUACUUAUUGCAAGAAUUUAUUAGCCCUCGAAGUAAAGUACUACUACGCAUGCCCCUAGGGGGAUAGAUUGGUAGGAAAAGACCAUCGCUCGUCCCCGACCGCCACUCAUAAGGAAGACAAUCAAAGAAACACCCAUGCUUCAAAUUUGUCACACAACGGUUACCAUACGUGCAUGCUACGGGACUUGCAAACCUCAACACAAGUGUCUCUACAAUCCACAACCACCCACUAGCAUGACUCUAAUAUCACCAUCUUUAUGUCGCAAAACUGUUGCAAGGAAUCAAACAUAUCAUAUUCAGCCAUCUACAAGUUCAUGUAGGAUUUUAUGACUAACCAUGUGAAUGACCAAUUCCUGUCAUCUCUCUAAAUAGAUAUAAGUGAAGCAAGAGAGUUUAAUCCUUUCUACAAAAGAUAUGCCCACACUCUAACAAAUAUAAGUGAAGCAAAAGUGCAUUCUACAAAUGGCGGUUUUCUAUGUGAAGAGAAACAGGCAAUCCAAACUUCAAAUGAUAUAAGUGAAGCAUAUGAAGCAUUCUAUAAAGCCAUACUCAAAAGAUUUAAGUGAGGUGCAAUGAGCAUUCUAUAAAUCAACCAAGGACUAUCUCAUACCAGCAUGGUGCAUAAAAUAAAAGUGAAAACUAAAUGCAAAAGACGCUCCAAGACUUGCACAUAUCGCAUGAACGAAAUGAAUACAAAAACAUACCGAUACUUGUUGAAGAAAGAGGGGAUGCCUUCCGGGGCAUCCCCAAGCUUAGACGCUUGAGUUUCCUUGAAUAUUUACUUGGGGUGCCUCGGGCAUCCCCAAGCUUGAGCUCUUGCCUCUCUUCCUUUUCCUCAUAUCGAGACCUACUCAAUUAGACACCUCAUCCACACAAAACUUCAACAGAAAACUCGGUAAGAUCCGUUAGUAUAAUAAAGCAAAUCACCACUCUAAGUACUAUUGCAAACCAAUUCAUAUUUUGUUUUUGCAUUGUGUCUACUGUAAUAUAACUUUUUCAUGGCUUAAUCUGAAGGAAAUAUUCCCUAGAGGCAAUAAUAAAGUUAUUAUCUAUUUCCUUAUUUCAUGAUAAAUGUUUAUUAUUCAUGCUAGAAUUGUAUUAACCGGAAACAUAAUACAUGUGUGAAUACAUAGACAAACAUAGUGUCACUAGUAUGCCUCUACUUGACUAGCUUGUUGAUCAAAUAUGGCUGUGUUUCCUAGCCAUAGACAUGAGUUGUCAUUUGAUUAAUGGGAUCACAUCAUUAGAAGAAUGAUGUGAUUGACUUGACCCAUUCUAUUAGCUUAGCACUUGAUCGUUUAGUAUGUUGCUAUUGCUUUCUUCAUGACUUAUACAUGUUCCUAUGACUAUGAGAUUAUGCAACUCCCGUUUACUAGAGGAACACUUUGUGUGCUACCAAACAUCACAAUGUAACUGGGUGAUUAUAAAGGAGCUCUACAGGUGUCUCCGAAGGUACAUGUUGAGUUGGCAUAUUUCGAGAUUAGGGUUUGUCACUCCGAUUGUCAGAGAGGUAUCUCUGGGCCCUCUCGGUAAUGCACAUCACUAUAAGCCUUGCAAGCAAUGUGGCUAAUGAGUUAGUUGCAGGAUGAUGCAUUACAUAACGAGUAAAGAGACUUAUGGUAACGAGAUUGAACUAGGUAUUGAGAUACCGAUGAUCGAAUCUCGGGCAAGUAACAUAUCGAUGACAAAGGGAACAACGUAUGUUGUUAUGCGGUUUGACCGAUAAAGAUCUUCGUAGAAUAUGUAGGAGCCAAUAUGAGCAUCCAGGUUCCGCUAUUGGUUAUUGACCGGAAACGUGUCUCGGUCAUGUCUACAUAGUUGUCGAACCCGUAGGAUCCGCACGCUUAAGGUUUCGAUGAUAGUUAUAUUAUGAGUUUAUGAGUUUUGAUGUAUCGAAGGUUCUUCGGAGUCCCAGAUGUGAUCACGUACAUGACGAGGAGUCUCGAAAUAGUCGAGACAUGAAGAUUGAUAUAUUGGAAGCCUAUAUUUGGAUGUCGGAAGUGUUCCGGGUGGAAUCGGGAUUUUACCGGAGUACCGGUGGUUACCGGAACCCCCCCGAGGGCUUAAUGGGCCUACAUGGGCCGAAAUAGAGGGCAGCAAGGGGAGUGUGGGGCGUGCCCCCCAAGGUCCAAACUGAAUUGGUUUAGGGCAAGGGGGCCGCCCCCCUCUUUCCUUCUCCUCCUCUCCCUUUCCUUCCCCUUCUCCUACUCCUACUAGGAAAUAGGAGGAGUCCUACUCCUAGUGGGAGUAGGACUCCCCCUUGGCGCGCCUCUCCCUGGCCGGCCGCCUCCUCCCCUUGCUCCUUUAUAUACGUAGGCAGGGGGCACCCCAUAGACAUAACAAUUGAUCUCUUAAUCUCUUAGCCGUGUGCGGAGCCCCCCUCCACCAUAGUCCUCCUCGAUAAUAUUGUAGCGGUGCUUAGGUGAAGCGCUGCAACGGUAGAACAUCAAGAUCGUCACCACGCCGUCGUGCUGACGGAACUCUCCCUCGACACUCGGCUGGAUCGGAGUUUGAGGGACGUCAUCGAGCUGAACGUGUGCUAGAACUCGGAGGUGCCGUAGUUUCGGUGCUUGAUCGGUCGGGCCGUGAAGACGUACGACUACAUCAACCGCAUUGUUUAACGCUUCCGCUUUCGGUAUACGAGGGUCCGUGGACAACACUCUCCCCUCUUGUUGCUAUGCAUCACCAUGAUCUUGCGUGUGCGUAGGAAUUUUUUUGAAAUUACUACGUUCCUCAACAGUGGCAUCCGAGCCUAGUUUUAUGCGUAGAUGUUAUAUGCACAAGUAGAACACAAGUGAGUUGUGGGCGAUACAAGUCAACUUCUUACCAGCAUGUCAUACUUUGGUUCAGCGGUAUUGUUGGAUGAAGCGGCCCAGACCGACAUUACGCGUACGCUUACGCGAGACUGGUUCUACCGACGUGCUUUGCACACAGGUGGCUGGCGGGUGUCAGUUUCUCCAACUUUAGUUGAACCGAGUGUGGCUACGCCCGGUCCUUGCGAAGGUUAAAACAUCACUAACUUGACGAACUAUCGUUGUGGUUUUGAUGCGUAGGUAAGAACGGUUCUUGCUCAGCCCAUAGCAGCCACGUAAAAUUUGCAACAACAAAGUAGAGGACGUCUAACUUGUUUUUGCAGGGCAUGUUGUGAUGUGAUAUGGUCAAGACGUGAUGCUAUAUUUUAUUGUAUGAGAUGAUCAUGUUUUUUAACCGAGUUAUUGGCAACUGGCAGGAGCCAUAUGGUUGUCACUUUAUUGUAUGAAAUGCAAGCGCCCUGUAAUUGCUUUACUUUAUCACUAAGCGGUAGCGAUAGUCGUAGAAGCAAUAGAUGGCGUAACGACAACGAUGCUACGAUGGAGAUCAAGGUGUCGCGCCGGUGACGAUGGUGAUCACGACGGUGCUUCGGAGAUGGAGAUCAUAAGCACAAGAUGAUGAUGGCCAUAUCAUAUCCACUUAUAUUGAUUGCAUAUGAUGUUUAUCCUUUAUGCAUCUUAUUUUGCUUUUAUUGAUGGUAGCAUUAUAAGAUGAUCUCUCACUAAUUAUCAAGAAGUGUUCUCCCUGAGUAUGCACCGUUGUGAAAGUUCUUCGUGCUGAGACACCAUGUGAUGAUCGAGUGUGAUAGGCUCUACGUUCAAAUACAACGGGUGCAAAACAGUUGCACACGCGGAAUACUCAGGUUAAACUUGACGAGCCUAGCAUAUACAGAUAUGGCCUCAGAACAUGGAGACCGAAAGGUCGAGCGUGAAUCAUAUAGUAGAUAUGAUUGAUAAGCCACAAGUAUAUGGGAUCUAUCAUAGUCCUUUCGAUAAGUAAGAGUGUCGAACCCAAUGAGGAGCAGAAGGAAAUGAUAAGCGGUUUUCAGCAAGGUAUUCUCUGUAAGUACUGAAAUAAGUGGUAACAGAUAGUUUUGUGAUAGGAUAAAUUGUAACGAGCAACAAGUAACAAAAGUAAAUAAAGUGCAGCAAGGUGGCCCAAUCCUUUUUGUAGCAAAGGACAAGCCUGGACAAACUCUUAUAAUAGGAAAAGCGCUCCCGAUGACACAUGGGAAUAUCGUCAAGCUAGUUUUCAUCACGCUCAUAUGAUUCGCGUUCGGUACUUUGAUAAUUUGAUAUGUGGGUGGACCGGUGCUUGGGUACUGCCCUUACUUGGACAAGCAUCCCACUUAUGAUUAACCUCUAUUUCAAGCAUCCGCAACUACAACAAAAGUAUUAAGGUAAACCUAACCAUAGCAUGAAACAUAUGGAUCCAAAUCAGCCCCUUAUGAAGCAAUGCAUAAACUAGGGUUUAAGCUUCUGUCACUCUAGCAACCCAUCAUCUACUUAUUACUUCCCAAUGCCUUCCUCUAGGCCCAAAUAAUGGUGAAGUGUUAUGUAGUCGACGUUCACAUAACACCACUAGAGGUUAGACAACAUACAUCUUAUCAAAAUAUCGAACGAAUACCAAAUUCACAUGACUACUAAUAGCAAGACUUCUCCCUUGUCCUCAGGAACAAAUGUAACUACUCAUAAAGCAUAUUCAUGUUCAUAAUUAGAGGGGUAAUAUUGUGCAUAAAGGAUCUGAACAUAUGAUCUUCCACCAAAUAAACCAACUAGCAUCAACUACAAGGAGUAAUCAACACUACUAGCAACCUACUAGCAUCAAUCCCGGACUUGGAGACAAGAAUUGGAUACAAGAGAUGAACUAGGGUUUGGAGAUGAGAUGGUGCUGGUGAAGAUGUUGAUGGAGAUUGCCCUCUCCCAAUGAGAGGAGCAUUGGUGAUGACGAUGGUGAUGAUUUCCCCCUCCCGGAGGGAAUUGUCCCCGGCAGAACAGCUCUGCCGGAGCCCUAGAUUGGUUCCGCCAAGGUUCCGCCUCGUGGCGGCGGAGUCUCGUCCCAAAAGGUUCUCCUCUAUUUUUUUCUCAUCGAAAGACUUUAUAUGGGAGAAGAUGGACGUCGGAGAGCCACUAGGGGGCUCACGAGGUAGGGGGCGCGCCCAGGGGGGGCAUCGUCAUGAGCAGGGUGUGGGCCCCCUGGCCUUCAUCUUUGGUGACGAUUUUUCUUUAUUUAUUCUAAGGUAUUCCGUGGAGUUUCAGGACUUUUGGAGUUGCGCAGAAUAGUCCUUCAAUAUUUGCUCCUUUUCCAGCCCAGAAUUCCAGGUGCCGGCAUUCUCCCUCUUUAUGUAAACCUUGUAAAAUAAGAGAGAACAACCAUAAGUAUUGUGACAUAACGUGAAAUAAUAGCCCAUAAUGCAAUAAAUAUUGACAUAAAAGCAUGAUGCAAAAUGGACGUAUCAACUCCCCCAAGCUUAGACCUCGCUUGUCCUCAAGCGAAAAGCCGAUAACAAUAAAUAUGUCCUCAUGUUUAGAGGUAGAGGCGUCGAUAAAAAUAAAAUACGGACAUGAAGGCAUCAUGAUAACUUCAUAACAGCAACAUAUAUAAAUUUUGUCAUAUGAUUACUUAUGUUCUAGUGAUGAUCUUUUCACAAAGCCAAAAUAUGAAUCAGAAACUUUAUUGGGCACCAACAAUUAUAAUCUCAGUCAUUGAAGCAAUUGCAAUUUAUCAUAACAUCGGAAAGAGUCUAUGUCAGAGCUUAAAAGCAAGUCCACAUACUCAACUAUCACUUAGUCCUUCAUAAUUGCUAGCACUCACGCGAUACUUUGUGGUUACGGAGUUUUAAUCGGACACAAAGAAAGAUAGGGGCUUAUAGUUUUUGCCCCACAACCUUUUACCUCAAGGGUAAUGUCAACAAUAAUAAUUCACGCCCCCCACAUCCAAUUAGAUAUAUAUAUCAUGUUCUUUCCAACAUGCUGAGCUUGCCAAAGGAUAAAAUGAAAAAGGAAGGGUGAAGAUCACCAUGACUCUUGCAUAAGGUAGAGGAUAAUAAAUAAAAGAUAGGCCCUUCGCAGAGGGAAGCAGAAGUUGUCAUGCGCGUUUAGGGUUGAUGCACAAAAUCUUAAUGCAAAAGAACGUCACUUUAUAUUGCCCCUUGCAUGUGAACCUUUAUUAUGCAGUCCGUCGCUUUUAUUGCGUCCACAACAAGUUCGUACAAAGCUUAUUUCUCUGCACUAAUAAGUCAUGCAUAUUUAGAGAGCAAUUUUUUAUUGCUUGCACUGAUAACAACUUACUUGAAGGAUCUUACUCAAUCCAUAGGUAGAUAUGGUGGACUCUCAUGGCAAAACUGGUUUAAGGGUAUUUGGAAGCACAAGUAGUAUUUCUACUUAGUGCUGAGAAUUGGCUAGCAUGAGGGGGAAAGGCAAACUCAACACGGUAGAGGAACCAUGACAACAUACUUUAUCUCAGAUGUAAGAAAACAUAACUCAUUAUGUUGUCUUCCUUGUCCAACAUCAACUCUUUAGCAUGUCAUAUUUUAAUGAGUGCUCCCAAUCAUAAAAGAUGUCAAUGAUAAUAUAUCUAUACGUGAAACCUCUCUUUCCUUAUUACUUCCUAUUAAUUGCAACGAUGACCAAAGCUAUAUUUGCCAACUCCCAACAACUUUAAAUCAUCAUACUCUCUCUAUGUGAAGUCAUUACUUUCAAUAAGAUCAAUAUGAACUCUUGACUCUUUUUAUUCUUUUUCUUCUAAUCACCCAAGAUCAUGGCAAAAUACUCAAGCCCUUGACUCAACACUAAUCUUUAUUAUAUAGCUCACGGACUCGAUUACAAAGAAGGAUCAUAAAGCAAAACUCAAAACUAGAUCAUCCCAUGACUUUAUUCUACUAAAUCAAGAUACAACUAAUAGGAUCGAACUAAGAAAAACGGUAAAGAUAGGAGUUGUGAUGGUGAUACGAUACCAGAGCACUUCCCCCAAGCUUGGCAGUUGCCAAGGGGAGUGCCCAUACCCAUGUGAUUAUAUAUCCUUCUUUGUUGUUGGCGGUGGAGGUGUUGUUGAUGAUGGAGUUGUCGCAUUUUUCUUCUCUAGCUUGUGUCUGAGGCUAAAAUUUUCAUACCUCAGAUCCUCAUUCUCGAGCUCAAGUUUCAUUAUCUUUUUGCAUAGUGCUGCCUUACUGUCCUGCAAAAAACGAGGUGGGAUAGAUUGGACCUUAUGGAGGCUUGACUUCUUGAACUCCACAUGGAUGUCACCAAGUUGAGGUAGGGGAUAGUCCUCUUCGUCGGAACUCGUUUCCUCCUUCCUCUUUGGAUCAUAGUCUUCUUCUUCCUCCGUGGUCCAGCCAUAAUGCUCCACGUCCCCAUAUACCUUGGGAUUUGCAAUAUAAUCAGCCAUGUAGCUCUCUCCCUUCGAAUCUUGGGAAGACAUCUUGCUCUAGUCUGCAGCAGCAAUGGCUCGAAACAAAAACAGGGGAGAUUUGCGUGAUACGAGAGUAACAACCUUCGGGAGUAUAUAUAAUGAAUUUUUACCGACCAAAAUACGUAUCAUGCAAGGAAACGGAGUCCGGAGGCCACACGAGGUGCUCACGAGGUAGGGGGCGCGCCCAGGGGGUAGGGCGCGCCCUCCACCCUCGUGGAGGCCUCGUGUCCUCCCCGGACUGCUACUUACUUAUCUAUUUUUCUAAAUAUUCCAAAACAGAGAAAUAUUUCCUUAAAAAUUGUUUUGGAGUCGGUUUACUUACCGUACCACAUACCUAUUCCUUUUCGGAGUCUGGAAUGUUCUGGAAAGUGUCCCUUAUAUAUUCCUCCGGGGUUACGGUUUCAAUAACAUUAGUUUCAACAUUUAUAGGAUUACCUGAGAUAUAGUGUUUGAUCCUUUGACUGUUCACCACCUUCGGAUUUGUGCCUGCAAAGUUGUUGAUUUUUAUGGCACCGGAAUGAUAGACCUCCUCGAUAACGUAAGGACCUUCCCAUUUGGAGAGAAGUUUUCCUGCAAAAAAUCUUAAACGAGAGUUGUAUAGCAAUACAUAGUCACCUACAUUAAACUCAUGCUUUUGUAUCCUUUUGUCAUGCCACCUUUUAACUUUUCCUUUAAAUAGCUUGGCAUUUUCAUAAGCUUGGGUUCUCCAUUCAUCAAGUGAGCUAAUAUCAAAUAACCUCUUCUCACCGGCAAGUUUGAAAUCAUAGUUGAGCUCCUUAAUAGCCCAAUAUGCCUUAUGUUCUAGUUUGAGAGGUAAAUGACAUGCUUUUCCAUAAACCAUUUUAUACGGAGACAUACCCAUAAGAUUUUUAUAUGCAGUUCUAUAGGCCCAUAAUGCAUCAUCAAGUUUUUUGGACCAAUUCUUCCUGGACCUAUUGACAGUCUUUUGUAAAAUUAAUUUGAGCUCUCUAUUGCUCAAUUCUACCUGACCACUAGACUGCGGAUGAUAUGGAGAUGCAAUCCUAUGAUUAAUGUCAUAUUUAGCAAGCAUCUUACGAAAAGCACCAUGAAUAAAGUGUGAACCACCAUCAGUCAUUAAGUAUCUAGGGACUCCAAACCUCGGAAAAAUAACUUCCUUAAGCAUUUUAACAGAAGUGUUAUGAUCAGCACUACUAGUUGGAAUAGCUUCUACCCACUUAGUAACGUAAUCAACAGCAACUAGAAUAUGAGUGUAACCAUUAGAGGCAGGAAUAGGUCCCAUAUAAUCAAAGCCCCAAACAUCAAAUGGCUCAAUAACAAGUGAAUAAUUCAUAGGCAUUUCUUGACAUCUACUAAUAUUACCAAUUCUUUGACAUUCAUCGCAAGACAAAACAAACUUACAGGCAUCCUUGAAGAGAGUAGGCCAAUAAAACCCGGAUUGCAAUACCUUAUGUGCAGUUCUAUCUCCAGCGUGAUGUCCUCCAUAAGCUUCGGAGUGACACUUGCGUAGGAUCUGUUCCUGUUCAUGCUCAGGUACACAACGUCUAAUAACACCAUCUACUCCCUCUUUAUAAAGAUGUGGGUCAUCCCAAAAGUAAUGUCACAAAUCAUAGAAAAACUUUUUCUUUUGUUGGUAUGUGAAGCUAGGCGGUAUAAAUUUAGCAACAAUAUAAUUAGCAUAAUCAGCAUACCAUGGAGUGCUACAAGAAGUACUUAUGCCAUUUAAUUGCUCAUCAGGAAAGCUAUCAUCGAUAGGUAGUGGGUCAUCAAGAACAUUCUCUAGCCUAGACAAGUUGUCUGCAACGGGGUUCUUAGCUCCUUUUAUAUCAACAAUAUGUAAAUCAAAUUCUUGAAGCAAGAUAACCCAUCUAAUGAGUCUAGGUUUUGCAUCUUUCUUUUCCAUAAGAUAUUUAAUAGUAGCAUGAUUUGUAUGAAUAGUGACUCUAGAAUCAACAAUAUAGGGUCUAAAUUUAUCACAAGCAAAUACAACCGCUAAAAGUUCCUUUUCGGUAGUAGCAUAAUUUCUUUGAGCAUUGUCUAGAGUCUUACUAGCAUAAUGGAUGACAUUCAAUUUCUUAUCAACUCUUUGCCCUAGAACAGCACCUACAGCAAAAUCACUAGCAUCACACAUAAUUUCAAAGGGUAAAUUCCAAUCAGGUGGCUGAACAACAGGUGCAGAGACUAAUGCUUUCUUAAGUAUUUCAAAUGCUUCUACACAAUCAUCAUCAAAGACAAAUGGUACAUCUUUUUGUAAUAAAUUAGUCAGAGGCCGAGAGAUUUUUGAGAAGUCCUUGAUGAACCUCCUAUAAAAUCCGGCGUGACCAAGGAAACUUCUUAUACCUUUGAUGUCCUUAGGACAUGGCAUCUUUUCAAUAGCAUCAACCUUGGCUUUAUCAACUUCAAUACCUCUUUCAGAAACUUUGUGCCCCAAGACAAUACCUUCAUUAACCAUAAAGUGACACUUUUCCCAAUUCAAGACAAGAUUAGUUUCUUCACAUCUCUACAAAACUCGAGCGAGAUUGCUCAAGCAAUCAUCAAAAGAGGAACCAUAGACGGAAAAGUCAUCCAUGAAAACCUCACAAAUUUUCUCACAAAAGUCAGAGAGUAUAGCCAUCAUGCAUCUUUGAAAGGUAGCAGGUGCAUUACAUAAACCAAAAGGCACACGUCUAUAAGCAAAAGUACCAAAAGGGCAUGUAAAAGUAGUCUUUGAUUGAUCUUUAGCCGACACAGGUAUUUGAGAAAAAACACAGUAACCAUCUAGAAAACAAUAAUGUGUAUGUUUGCAUAGUCUUUCUAGCAUUUGAUCAAUAAAAGGUAAGGGGUAAUGAUCUUUCUUAGUAGCCUUAUUUAAUUUGCGGAAAUCAAUUACCAUCCUAUAACCUGUGAUAAUUCUUUGCGGAAUCAAUUCAUCUUUAUCAUUAGGGACAACAGUAAUACCUCCCUUCUUAAGGACACAAUGGACAGGACUUACCCACUGACUAUCAGCAACGGGAUAAAUUAUACCUGCCUCCAGAAGCUUGAGUAUUUCUUUUCUUACCACUUCUUUCAUUUUAGGAUUCAAACGUCGUUGAGGAUCACAAACUGGUUUGGCAUCAGCUUCCAAAUUUAUUUUAUGUUGGCAUAGAGUGGACUGAUGCCCUUAAGAUCAUCCAGAGUAUAUCCAAUAGCGGCACGAUGCUUCUUUAGAGUGUUCAAUAAUCUUUCUUCUUCAUGCUCUGAAAGGUUAGCGCUAAUAAUAACAGGAUAUAUUUUCUUUUCAUCAAGAUAAGCAUAUUUAAGAUUAUCAGGCAACGGUUUAAGCUCAAAUACGGGAUCACCCUUGGGUGGAGGGGGAUCCCCUAGGAUUUUAACAGGCAAAUUGUGUUGCAGAAUAGGUUCCUGUUUAAAGAAUACUUCAUCUAUUUCCCUUCUUUCAUUCAUGAACAUAUCAUUUUCAUGGUCUAGCAAAUAGUGUUCUAAAGGAUCACUAGGAGGUACAACAAUAGAAGCAAGACCAAUAAUUUCACCCUUACCAGGCAAUUCUUCCUCACGAUGUUGUUUACUAAAUUUAGAGAAAUUAAACUCAUGAACCAUAUCGUCCAAGCCAAUAGUAACAACAUUCUUUUUGCAGUCUAUCUUAGCAUUAACAGUACGCAAGAAGGGUCUGCCAAAUAUAAUGGGACAAAAGCUAUCUUGUGGAGAACCAAGAACAAGAAAAUCAGCGGGAUAUUUGGUUUUCCCACACAAGACUUGAACAUCUCUAACAAUUCCCAUUGGAGAUAUGGUAUCUCUAUUGGCAAGUUUAAUUGUAACAUCAAUAUCUUCUAACUCAGCAGGUGUAAUAUCAUGCAUAAUUUCUUUGUAUAAAUCAAUGGGUAUAACACUAGCACUAGCACCCAUAUCACAUAAGCCAUGAUAACAAUGAUCUCCUAUUUUAACUGAAAUAAUAGGCACGCCUACCACAAGUCUAUGUUUUUCUCUAUCACGGGGUUUAGCAAUUCUAGCAGUUUCACCAGUGAAUUGAAUAACAUGCCCAUCAAUAUUAUCAGACAAGAGAUCUUUAACAAUAGCAAUAUUGGGUUCUACUUUGACUUGCUCAGGGGGUGUAUAAGUCCUAGUAUUGCUUUUACGAACAAUAGUUGAAGCUUUAGCAUGAUCCUUCAUUCUAACAGGGAAAUGUGGUUUCUCAACAUAAGAAGUAGGAACAAUAGGAUCAUUAUAAAUGAAAAUCUUUUCUUCAACUUUAAUAGGUGCAGCUACUUUUACUUCUAUGGGAGGAUGAUAUUUAAACCACUUCUCCUUGGGGAGAUCAACAUAAGUAGCAAAAGAUUCACAUAAAGAAGCUACUAUCUCAGAGUCAAGUCCAUAUUUAGUGCUAAACUUACGGAAAAUAUCGGUAUCCAUAAAAGAUUUAACACAAUCAAACUUAGGUGUAAUACCUUACUCCUUACCUUCGUCGAGGUCCCAAUCUUCAGAGUUGCGUUUAAUUCUGUCCAAUAAAUUUGAUCCAAAUUCAAUAGACUUCAUCAUAAAAGAGCCAGCACAAGAAGUAUCGAGCAUGGUGCGAUUAUUAUCAGAAAGCCGAGCAUAAAAAUUCUAGAGAAUUGUCAAUUUUGAGAGCUCAUGAUUGGGGCAUGAAUAUAACAUUGAUUUAAGCCUCCCCCAAGCUUGAGCGACGCUUUCUCCUUUGCGAGGCCAAAAAUUAUAUAUAUAAUUGCGAUCACGAUGAACAAGAUGCAUAGGGUAAUACUUUUGAUGACAUUCCAAUUUCAAUCUUUUAUAGUUCCAUGAUCUCGUAUCAUCACAUAGCCUAUACCAUGUCAAUGCGUCUCCCUCCAAAGAUAAAGGGAAAGCCUUCCUCUUAACGGCAUUAUCGGGUAUACCUGCAAACUUAAAUAGUCCACAAAUAUCAUCCACAAAGCGUAGAUGUUCGUCAGGAUGCUUUGUUCCAUCUCCUGCGAAAGUGUUAGCUAGCAGUUUUUCCAUCAUACCCGAAGGAAUCUGAAAAGCACUUUCAUUUUCAAUAGAUUCAGUAGGUUCAGUAGGUUGAGGAGCAACUCUUGGCUCAACUGGACGGGGUGAAGAUACCCCGAACAAGCCCCUCAAACAAUUACUUUCCAUGGUAACAAGUGACAGAAAAUUUCAACACACUAAAUAAAUUUUUCCUUACCAAAUUCCACCUACCAAAGGCGCUUCACUCCCCGGCAACGGCGCCAGAAAAGAGUCUUGAUGACCCACAAGUAUAGGGGAUCUAUCGUAGUCCUUUCGAUAAGUAAGAGUGUCGAACCCAACGAGGAGCAGAAGGAAAUGAUAAGCAGUUUUCAACAAGGUAUUCUCUGUAAGUACUGAAAUAAGUGGUAACAGAUAGUUUUGUGAUAGGAUAAAUUGUAACGAGCAACAAGUAACAAAAGUAAAUAAAGUGCAGCAAGGUGGCCCAAUCCUUUUUGUAGCAAAGGACAAGCCUGGACAAACUCUUAUAAUAGGAAAAGCGCUCCCGAGGACACAUGGGAAUAUCGUCAAGCUAGUUUUCAUCACGCUCAUAUGAUUCGCGUUCGGUACUUUGAUAAUUUGAUAUGUGGGUGGACCGGUGCUUGGGUACUGCCCUUACUUGGACAAGCAUCCCACUUAUGAUUAACCUCUAUUGCAAGCAUCCACAACUACAACAAAAGUAUUAAGGUAAACCUAACCAUAGCAUGAAACAUAUGGAUCCAAAUCAACCCCUUAUGAAGCAACACAUAAACUAGGGUUUAAGCUUCUGUCACUCUAGCAACCCAUCAUCUACUUAUUACUUCCCAAUGCCUUCCUCUAGGCCCAAAUAAUGGUGAAGUGUUAUGUAGUCGACGUUCACAUAACACCACUAGAGGUUAGACAACAUACAUCUUAUCAAAAUAUCGAACGAAUACCAAAUUCACAUGACUACUAAUAGCAAGACUUCUCCCUUGUCCUCAGGAACAAACGUAACUACUCACAAAGCAUAUUCAUGUUCAUAAUCAGAGGGGUAAUAUUGUGCAUAAAGGAUCUGAACGUAUGAUCUUCCACCAAAUAAACCAACUAGCAUCAACUACAAGGAGUAAUCAACACUACUAGCAACCUACUAGCACCAAUCCCGGACUUGGAGACAAGAAUUGGAUACAAGAGAUGAACUAGAGUUUGGAGAUGAGAUGGUGCUGGUGAAGAUGUUGAUGGAGAUUGCCCUCUCCCGAUGAGAGGAGCGUUGGUGAUGACGAUGGUGAUGAUUUCCCCCUCCCGGAGGGAAUUGUCCCCGGCAGAACAGCUCUGCCGGAGCCCUAGAUUGGUCCCCGGCAGAAUAGCUCGUGGCGGUGGAGUCUCAUUCCAAAAGGUUCUCCUCUAUUUUUUUCUCAUCGAAAGACUUCAUACGGGAGAAGAUGGACAUCGGAGAGCCACCAGGGGGCCCACGAGGUNNNNNNNNNNNNNNNNNNNNNNNNNNNNNNNNNNNNNNNNNNNNNNNNNNNNNNNNNNNNNNNNNNNNNNNNNNNNNNNNNNNNNNNNNNNNNNNNNNNNNNNNNNNNNNNNNNNNNNNNNNNNNNNNNNNNNNNNNNNNNNNNNNNNNNNNNNNNNNNNNNNNNNNNNNNNNNNNNNNNNNNNNNNNNNNNNNNNNNUUUCUUUAUUUAUUCUAAGGUAUUCCGUUGAGUUUCAGGACUUUUGGAGUUGUGCAGAAUAGUCCUUCAAUAUUUUCUCCUUUUCCAGCCCAGAAUUCCAGCUGUCGGCAUUCUCCCUCUUUAUGUAAACCUUGUAAAAUAAGAGAGAAUAGCCAUAAGUAUUGUGACAUAACGUGAAAUAACAGCCCAUAAUGCAAUAAAUAUUGACAUAAAAGCAUGAUGCAAAAUGGACGUAUCAAUGAUCAACAUAGUGAUGUUCACCAUUGAAAACUACUCCAUCUCAUGUGAUGACCGGACAUGGUUUAGUUGAUUUGGAUCACGUGAUCACUUAGAUGACCAGAGAGAUGUCUGUCUAAGUGGGAGUUCUUAAGUAAUAUGAUUAACUGAACUUAAAUUUAUGAUGAACUUAGUCCUGGUAGUAUUCUACAAAUUAUGUUGUAGAUCAAUAGCUCGCGUCGUUGCUUUCAUAUGUUUAUUUUGAUAUGUUCACAGAAAAUUGUGUUGAAAGAUGUUAGUAGCAAUGAUGCAGAUUGGAUCCGUGAUCUGAAGUUUAUCCUCAUUGUUGCACAGAAGAAUUAUGUCCUUGAUGCACCGCUAGGUGACAGACCUAUUGCAGGAGCAGAUGCAGACGUUAUGAACGUUUGGCUAGCUCAAUAUGAUGACUACUUGAUAGUUUAGUGCACCAUGCUUAACGGCUUAGAAUCGGGACUUCAAAGACGUUUUGAACGUCAUGGACCAUAUGAGAUGUUCCAGGAGUUGAAGUUAAUAUUUCAAGCAAAUACCCGAGUUGAGAGAUAUGAAGUCUCCAACAAGUUCUAUAGCUAAAAGAUGGAGGAGAAUCACUCAACUAGUGAGCAUGUGCUUAGAUUGUCUGGGUACUACAAUCGCUUGAAUCAAGUGGGAGUUAAUCUUCCAGAUAAGAUAGUGAUUAACAGAGUUCUCUAGUCACCAUCACCAAGUUAUUGGAACUUCGUGAUGAACUAUAGUAUGCAAGGGAUUACAAAAACGAUUCCCGAGCUCUUUGUGAUGUUGAAAUCGACGAAGGUAGAAAUCAAGAAAGAGCAUCAAAGUGUUGAUGAUCGACAAGACCACUAGUUUCAAGUAAAGGGCAAAGGGAAAGAAAGGGAACUUCAAGUAGAAUGGCAAGCAAGUUGUCACUCCCGUGCAAGAUCCCAAACCUGGACCAAAGCCUGAAACUGAAUGCUUCUACUGCAAAGGAAAUGGUCACUAGAAGCGGAAAUAAGUAGGAUGGCAAAGUGAACAAGAGUAUAUUUGAUAUACAAGUUAUUGAUGUGUACUUUACUAGUGUUUAUAGUAGCCCCUAAGUAUUUGAUACUUGUUCGGUUGCUAAAAAUUAGUAACUCGAAACAGGAGUUACAGAAUAAACAGAGACUAGUUGAGGGUGAAGUGACGAUGUGUGUUGGAAGUGGUUCCAAGAUUGAUAUGAUCAUCACCACACACUCCCUAUAUUUUCGAGAUUAGUGUCAAACCUAAAUAAAUGUUAUUUGGCGUUUGCGUUGAGCAUAAAUAUGAUAAGAUCAUGUUUAUUGCGAUACGAUUAUUCAUCUAAGAUAGAGAAUAAAUUGUUAUUCUAUUUACAUAAAUAAAACCUUCUAUGGUCAUACACCCAAUGGUGAUGGUUUAUUGAAUCUUGAUCAUAGUGAUACACAUAUUCAUAAUGUUGAUGCCAAAAGAUGCAAAGUUAAUAAUGAUAGUGCAACUUAUUUGUGGCACUGCCGUUUGGGUCAUAUCGGUGUAAAGCGCAUGAAGAAACUCCAUAAAGAUGGAUUUUCAGAAUCACUUGGUUAUGAAUCAUUUGAUGCUUGCGAACCGUGCCUUUUGGGCAAGAUGACUAAAACUCCAUUCUCCGGAAAAAUGGAACGAGCUACUAACUUGUUGGAAAUAAUACAUACCGAUGUAUGCGGUCCAAUGAGUGUUGAUGCUCAUGGCGGGUAUCGUUAUUUUCUGACCUUCACAGAUGAUUUGAGCAGAUAUGCGUAUAUCUACUUAAUGAAGCACAAGUCUAAAUCAUUUGAAAAGUUCAAAAGAAUUUCAGAGUGAAGUGGAGAAUCAUCGUAACAAGAAAAUAAAGUUUCUACAAUCUGAUCAUAGAGAAGAAUAUUUGAGUUACGAGUUUGGCCUUCAUUUUAAACAAUAGUUGCAAAGCUCACGCCACAUGGAACACCACAACAUAAUGGUGUGUCCGAACGUCGUAACCGCACUUUAUUGGAUAUGGUGUGAUCUAUGAUGUAUCUUACCGGUUUACCACUAUCGUUUUGGGGUUAUGCAUUAGAGAUAGCUGCAUUCACUUUAAAUAGGGCACCAUCUAAAUCCGUUGAGACAACACCGUAUGAACUAUGGUUUAGCAGUAAACCUAAGUUGUCAUUUCUUAAAAGUUUGGAGUUGCGAUGCUUAUGUGAAAAGGGUUUCAACCUGAUAAGCUCGAACCCAAAUUGGAGAAGUGUGUCUUCAUAGAAUACCCAAAGGAAACUGUUGGGUACACCUUCUAUCACAGAUCCGAAGGCAAAACAUUCGUUGCUAAGAAUGGAUCCUUUAUAGAGAAGGAGUUUCUCUCGAAAGAAGUGAGUGGGAGGAAAGUAGAGCUUGAUAAGGUAAUUUGUACCUUCUCCCGAAUUGGAAAGUAGUUCAUCACAGAAAUCAGUUCCAGUGAUUCCUACACCAAUUAGUGAGGAAGCUAAUGAUGAUGAUCAUGAAACUUCAGAUUAAGUUACUACAAAACCUCGUAGGUCUUCCAAAGUACAGUCCGCACCAGAGUGGUACGGUAAUCCUGUUCUGGAAGUCAUGUUACUAGACCAUGAUGAACCUACGAACUAUGAGGAAGCGACGAUGAGCCCAGAUUCCGCGAAAUGGCUUGAGGCCAUGAAAUCAGAGAUGGGAUCCAUGUAUGAGAACGAAGUGUGGACUUUGGUGGAGUUGCCCAAUGAUCGGCAAGCCAUAUUGUAUAAAUGGAUCUUCAAGAGGAAGACAGACGCUGAUAGUAGUGUUACUAUCUACAAAGCUCGACUUGUCGCAAAAAGGUUUUUCGACAAGUUCAAGGUGUUGACUACAAUGAGAUUUUCUCAACUGUAGCGAUGCUUAAGUCUGUCCAAAUCAUAUUAGCAAUUGCCACAUUUUAUGAAAUCUGGUAAAUGGAUGUCAAAACUGCAUUCCUUAAUGGUUUUCUUAAAAAAGAGUUGUAUAUGAUGUAACCAGAAGGUUUUGUCAAUCCUAAAGGUGCUAACAAAAUGUGCAAGCUCCAGCGAUCCAUCUAUGGACUGGUGCAAGCAUCUCAGAGUUGGAAUAUAUGCUCUAAUAAGUUGAUCAAAGCAUAUAGUUUUAUACAGACUUGCGGUGAAGCCUGUAUUUACAAUAAAGUGCGUAGGAGCACUACCGCCUUUUUGAUAAAUAUAUGUGAGUAACAUAUUGUUGAUCAGAAAUGAUGUAGAAUUUUUCUAGAAAGCAUGAAGGAGUAUUUGAAAGGAGUUCUUUAAAAGAAAGACCUCAGUAAAGCUACUUACGUAUUGAGCUUCAAGAUCUAUUGAGAUAGAUCAAGACGCUUGAUAAGUUUUUCAAUAAGUACAUACCUUGUCAAGAUUUUGAAGUAGUUCAAAAUGGAACAGUCAAAGAAAGAGUUCUUGCCUAUGUUGCAAAGGUGUGAAAUUGAGUAAGACUAAAAUCCCGACCACAGAAGAAAAUACAAAAGAGAAUUAAAGUCAUCCCCUAUGCCUCAGUCAUAGGUUCUAUAAAAGUAUGCUAUGCUAUGUACCAGACCUAUUGUAUACCUUGCCCUGAAUUUGGCAAGGGAGUACAAUAGUGAUCUAGGAGCAGAUCACUGGACAUUGGUCAAGAAUAUCCUUAGUGAGGACUAAGGAAAUAUUUCUCGAUUAUGGAGGUGAUAAAAGAGCUCGUCGUAAAGAGUUACAUCGGUGCGAACUUUUACACCGAUCCAGAUGACUCUAAGUCUCAAUCUGGAUACAUAUUGAAAGUGGGAGCAAUUAACUAGAGUAGCUCCAUGCAGAGCAUUGUAGACAUAGAAUAUUUGAAAAAUACAUAUGGCUCUGAAUGUGACAGACCCUUUGACUAAGUUUCUCUCACGGGCAAAACAUGAUCAGACCUUAGUACUCUUUGGGUGUUAAUCACAUAACGCUGUGAACUAGAUUAUUGACUCUAGUAAACCCUUUGGGUGUUGGUCACAUGACGAUGUGAACUAUGGGUGUUAAUCAUAUACAGAUAUGAAUAUUGGUGUUAAAUCACAUGGCGAUGUGAACUAGAUUACUGACUCUAGUGCAAGUGGGAGACUGAAGGAAAUAUGCCCUAGAGGCAAUGAUAAAAUUAUUAUUUAUUUCCUGAUUUCAUGAUAAAUGUUUAUUAUUCAUGCUAGAAUUGUAUUAACCGGAAACAUAAUACAUGUGUGAAUACAUAGACAAACAUAGUGUCACUAGUAUGUCUCUACUUGACUAUCUUGUUGAUCAAAGAUGGUUGUGUUUCCUAGCCAUAGACAUGAGUUGUCAUUUGAUUAACGGGAUCACAUCAUUAGAAGAAUGAUGUGACCCAUUCCGUUAGCUUAGCACUUGAUCGUUUAGUAUGUUGCUAUUGCUUUCUUCAUGACUUAUACAUGUUCCUAUGACUAUGAGAUUAUGCAACUCCCGUUUACCGGAGGAACAAUUUGUGUGCUACCAAACAUCAUAACAUAACUGGGUGAUUAUAAAGGAGCUCUACAGGUGUCUCCGAAGGUACAUGUUGAGUUGGCAUAUUUCGAGAUUAGGAUUUGUCACUCCGAUUGUCGGAGAGGUAUCUCUGGGCCCUCUCGGUAAUGCACAUCACUAUAAGCCUUGCAAGCAAUGUGGCUAAUGAGUUAGUUGUGGGAUGAUGCAUUACGUAAUGAGUAAAGAGACUUACCGGUAACGAGAUUGAACUAGGUAUUGAGAUAUCGACGAUCUAAUCUCGGGCAAGUAACAUACCGAUGACAAAGGGAACAAUGUAUGUUGUUAUGCAGUUUGACCGAUAAAGAUCUUCGUAGAAUAUGUAGGAGUCAAUAUGAGCAUCUAGGUUCCGCUAUUGGUUAUUGACCAGAAACGUGUCUCGGUCAUGUCUACAUAAUUCUCGAACCCGUAGGGUCCGCACGCUUAAUGUUUCGAUGACAGUUAUAUUACGAGUUUAUGAGUUUUGAUGUACCGAAGGUUGUUCGGAGUCCCGGAUGUGAUCACGGACAUGACGAGGAGUCUCGAAAUGGUCCAGACAUGAAGAUUGAUAUAUUGGAAGCCUAUAUUUGGAUGUCGGAAGUGUUCCGGGUGAAAUCGGGAUUUUACCGGAGUACCGAGGGUUACCGGAACCCCCCCGAGGGCUUAAUGAGCCUUAGUGGAAAUAGAGGGCAGCAAGGGGAGUGUGGGGCGCGCCCCCCAAGGCCCAAACCGAAUUGGUUUAGGGCAAGGGGGCCGACCCCCUCUUUCCUUCUCGUCCUCUCCCUUUCCUUCCCCCUCUCCUACUCCUACUAGGAAAUAGGAGGAGUCCUACUCCUAGUGGGAGUAGGACUCCCCCUUGGCGCACCUCUCCCUAGUCGGGCGCCUCCUCCCCUUGCUCCUUUAUAUACGGGGGCAGGGGGGCACCCCAUAGACAUAACAAUUGAUCUCUUGAUCUCUUAGCCGUGUGCAGUGCCCCCCUCCACCAUAGUCCUCCUCGAUAAUAUUGUAGCGGUGCUUAGGCGAAGCGCUGCAACGGUAGAACAUCAAGAUCGUCACCACGCUGUUGUGUUGACGAAACUCUCCCUCGACACUCGGCUGGAUCGGAGUUCGAGGGACGUCAUCGAGCUAAACGUGUGCUAGAACUCGGAGGUGCCGUAGUUUCGGUGCUUGAUCAGUCGGGCCGUGAAGACGUACGACUACAUCAACCACGUUGUUCUAACGCUUCCGCUUUCGAUCUACGAGGGUACGUGGACAACACUCUACCCUCUCAUUGCUAUGCAUCACCAUGAUCUUGCGUGUGCGUAGGAUUUUUUUUGAAAUUAAUACGUUCCCCAACAGUGGCAUCCGAGCCUGGUUUUAUGCGUAGAUGUUAUAUGCACGAGUAGAACACAAGUGAGUUGUGGGCGAUACAAGUCAUACUGCUUACCAGCAUGUCAUACUUUGGUUCGGCGGUAUUGUUGGAUGAAGCGGACCAGACCAACAUUACGCGUAUGCUUACGCGAGACUGGUUCUACCGACAUGCUUUGCACACAUGUGGCUGGCGGGUGUCAGUUUCUCCAACUUUAGUUGAACCGAGUGUGGCUACGCCCGGUCCUUGCGGAGGUUAAAACAACACUAACUUGACAAACUAUCGUUGUGGUUUUGAUGCGUAGGUAAGAACGGUUCUUGCUCAGCCCAUAGAAGCCACGUAAAAUUUGCAACAACAAAGUAGAGGACGUCUAACUUGUUUUUGCAGGGCAUGUUGUGAUGUGAUAUGGUCAAGAUGUGAUGCUAUAUUUUAUUGUAUGAGAUGAUCGUGUUUUAUAACCGAGUUAUCGGCAACUGGCAGGAGCCAUAUGGUUGUCGCUUUAUUGUAUGAAAUGCAAGCGCCCUGUAAUUGCUUUACUUUAUCACUAAGCGGUAGCGAUAGUCGUAGAAGCAAUAGAUGGCGUAACGACAACGAUGCUAUGAUGGAGAUCAAGGUGUCGCGCCAGUGACAAUGAUGAUCACGACGGUGCUUCGGAGAUGGAAUCACAAGCACAAGAUGAUGAACAUGUGCUAGAACUCGGAGGUGCCGUAGUUUCGGUGCUUGAUCGGUCGGGCCGUGAAGACGUACGACUACAUCAACCACGUUGUUCUAACGCUUCCGCUUUCGGUCUACGAGGGUACGUGGACAACACUCUCCCCUCUCGUUGCUAUGCAUCCCCAUGAUCUUGCGUGUGCGUAGGAGUUUUUUUGAAAUUACUAUGUUCCCCAACAUAAUCCACUAAUAUAAAUUGAUAGAUUCAUCAAAACAAGCAAACUAUGCAUCAAAAACAGAAUCUAUCAAAAAUAGAACAGUCUGUAGCAAUCUGAACAUCCACCAUAUUUAUGUUACCCCAAAAAUUCUACCAAAAUUAGGAAAAAUAAACAAGUUGUAUAUCAAGACAGUGCAAAAAUAAUCCGAACCAAUUGACGUUCCAGUUAAAAACAUAAAAUCACGCACUACAGCCAAAGUUCUGUCCUGCACCAUACAAACCAACAAGCAUUAUAAACAUCCUAAAGGCAAACCUUAGCACAUUAUUUUUAUAAUACAACGGAAUUGUACAAGGGGAUAAUUAUUUUUGUUGAAAAGUUUCUGUAAUCAAGAUCCACAAAGUUUUCGUGAGCCUGAACAAAGUUCAAGCCUAGCUCCCACUUCAACAAUGCUUGUCUUUCUCACUUUCACUUUCCUUUUUGAAAUUUUUUGGGUUCCCCUCUUUAUUUUUUUGUUUUUAAACUAUACGAAAGCACUCAUCAGAAAUAAAUGACUCUUUAAAACUUCCGGGUUGUCUUCCUGGCAGCGAUUUCUUUAAAGCCAUUAAGCUAGGCAUAUAGUGCUCAAGUAAUGGAUCCACCCGGAUCCCAAGGUAUAUCAAAGCCAAUUUUAAUUAACAAUGAUUGUAAUUUAGUAGUGAGCACAAAGUAACAUAUAUCAUGCAAUAAUGAAGUCUAACUCUCUUCCUAUGCAUCGGCAUGUCAUAAAAGAACAAUUCAUGCACACAUAGUAAAGGCCAAUACAUAGUAUAAGUAGUUUCUUGCAAUUUUAUCAUAUUGGAAACAUAGAGAGGUGGAGAUAUAGUUCCUCUCUCAUAAUAAUUGCAAGUAGGAGCAGCAAGCACAUGCAUAUUACAUUCAUCAAAAUCAUCAUGUGCAAUGGUAAAAGGCAACCCAUCAAUAUAAUCCUUAAUAAGCACAAACUUCUCUGAUAUAGUGUAGUCGGGAGAAUUCAAAAAGAUAAUAGGACUAUCAUGCGUGGGUGCAAUAGCAACAAUUUCAUGUUUAACAUAAGGAACUAUAGCAAGUUCAUCUCCAUAAGCAUAAUUCAUAUUGGCAUCUUGGCCACAAGCAUAGCAAGUAUCUUCAAAAAGGGAUAUUUCAAGAGAACAACGGGAUCAUAGCAAUCAUCAUAGCAGUCAUCCUUCGGUAAGCACGAAGGGGAAUUAAACAAUGUAUGAGUUGAAGAGUUACUCUCAUUAGAAGGUGGGCACGGGUGAUCAAUCCGCUCUUCCUCCUUUCGUUCUUCGCCCUCCUCAUCAUCUUUUUCAUCCAAUGAGCUCACAGUUUCAUCAAUUUCUUCUUCCAUAGCUUCCUGCAAAAUAUUAGUCUCUUCUUGGACAGCGGAGACCUUCUCAAUAAAUGCAUCAAUAUUGUAAUUGUAUUCAUAAUUUUCAUAGCAAUAUUUCAAUAUAGCAAAAUUUUUAGGCCUAUAAACAUCAUCACCUAAAGCUUCAUACUUUUCAAACAAAGAUUCAAUUUCAUAAGCAGCCUUAAAAGCAACAAAUUCUUCAAUUCGUUCAACAUCAUAGUAAUCAUAUAUACCAUUAGCAUAAGAAGCUAAGGUUUCAUUAUCAUUAAAUUUGCAUGAAAAGGGAAGGUGUGGAGCCUUCAUCCUAGAGCAACAAUUAUAAUCAUAUCUCAAGCAUAGAUCCCGAGCAUACCAACGCAACAUAUUAAUUUGAUCCCAUAAUAGUUUCCCUUUUUGUGUCAAGCGAUAAUCCCUAAAGUAUUCACGUUGAUCCAACGUUACUCCCAUUACAUAAUUGAAUGGGGGUUUCUCAGGAUUAUCAAAGUAGUACAUAAUAUUUUGAACAUAGCGAGCAUCGAGGGUUUUAGGAGGUUCCCCAUCUCCAUGAGUAGCAACUACACCUAUUUUUUUUUGGUAUUUCGUGUUCCAUAUCCAUAACUAAAGAUAGAGAACCACUAAGAACAGCAAAUAAAAAUUACUUAGUGAUAAAGCAAACAAGCACACACGAGAAUAUUCACCCCACGCUAUGACUCCCCGGCAACGGCGCCAGAAAAAGGUCUUGAUAACCCGCAAGUAUACGGGAUAGUUGUAGCCUCUUUCGAUAAGUAAGACUGUAGAACCCAACGAGGAUCUAAAGGUAGAACAAAUACUCUCUCAAGUCCUAUCGGCCACUGAUACGACUCUACGCACGCUUGAUGUUCGCUUUACCUAGAAUAAGUAUGAAACUAGAAGUACUUUGUAGGUGUGAUAGGAUAGGUUUGCAAGAUAAUAAAGAACACGUAAAUAAAAAGUAGGGGCUGUUUAGAUAAAGAUGCAAUAAAGUAAAUAUAGCGAGUGUGGAAAAGUGGUGGUAGGAGUUGCGGAAUUGUCCCUAAGCAAUGGACUACUUUACUAGACCGAUAGCAAGUUUUAUGUGGGAGAGGCCACUACUAGCAUGUCAUCCCUGACUUGGAAUUCUAUGCACUUAUGAUUGGAACUAUUAGCAAGCAUCCGCAACUACUAACGUUCAUUAAGGUAAAACCAUUAAGAUAUAUUGGCCCCCCUUCAAUCCCGUAUGCAUCAAUUUCUAUGCUAGGUAGAAGCUUCUGUCACUCUUGCCCUCCAAUACAUAGUCCUAUCAACAUACAACUAACCCUAUGGUGUGAUCCACGCACGCGCUCAUAUGAUGGGCACCAAAGGACAGCAACAUAACCACAAGAAAAUUAAAUCAAUCAUAGCAAUUCAUCAACCACCAAUAGGACAACAAAAAUCUACUCAGACAUCAUAGGAUGGCAACACAUCAUUGGAUAAUAAUCUGUAGCAUAAAGCACCAUGUUCAAGUAGAGGGUACAGCGGGUUGCGGGAGAGUGGACCGCUGUAGAUAGAGGGGGGAAGGUGAUGGAGAUGUUGGUGAAGAUGGCAGAGGUGUUGGUGAAGAUCGCGGUGAUGAUGAUGGCCCCCGGCGGCGUUCCGGCGCUACCGGAAGCAAGAGGGAGAGAGCCCCCCUUCUUCUUCUUCUUCCUUGACCUUCUCCCUAGAUGGGAGAAGGGUUUCCCCUCUGGUACUUGGCUCCCUUGGCUUGGGAGGGGCGAGAGCCCCUCCGAGAUUGGAUCUAUCUCUCUAUUUCUGCAUCCCCAGAUUCUGCCCCUUCACCGUUUCUUUUAUAUCCGGAGAUUCGUAACUCCGAUUGGGGUGAAUCUUUCGCCCAGAUUUUUCUCAUAAAAUUAGCUUUCUUGUAGCAAAAGAAGAGCGUCAACCGCCGUACGGGUGGCCCACGAGGGUGCCAGGCGCGCCCAGGGGGGAGGGCGCGCCCCGCUGUCUUGUGGCCACCUCGGGCACCAUUCUUCCUCCGGAAAAUCCCAAAUAUUCAAAAUAAUUCUCCGUCCGUUUUUAUCCCGUUUGGAUUCUGUUUGAUAUUGGGUUUCUGUGAAACAUAAAACAUGCAAUAAACAGGAACUGGCACUGGGCACUGGAUCAAUAUGUUAGUCCCAAAAAUAGUAUAAAAAGUUGCCAAAAGUAUAUGAAAGUUGAAAAAUAUUGGCAUGGAACAAUCAAAAAUUAUAGAUACGAUGGAGACGUAUCAGGAAGUUCCUUAAAAGCCCAAGACAACCCCAAAGCUCCAGCUCAAGCUCCAAAGAGAAGCACCGGGAACAUACCUGCAACAGAGAAGAACAAGGCCCCAGUGCCUGAAGCUGCGGAAGAAACUGAAGCCCAAGUGCUUAGGAAGCUCAAACCCAAGAUUCUAGACCACAAUGAUAGUCACCCAGUUGCUGAAAAUAGGAAGGAAAGAAAGGAUGCUGGUCUCAGUAAAUGGAGACAAGUAGAUCCAUAUGCUGUGAGGAGGAGGACUGCAGUGGACUACAGGUUCCACACCAAAGAGCAACAUGAUUUUUAUGAGACGGUGUUGCUGGACAAGAAACCCACAGUUAGUGAUAUGUGAUGGGUGGACUGGAAAUACAUUGAUGCAAAUGCUGAUCAUUUCCCAGGAGUGCAUGAAAGCUUCAAAGCAAAUGGUGUUGAUGACUUUGUUGGUCAGAAGCUCACCAAGUGGAAUGAUGAGCUAAUAAUGCAAUUCUACUCAGCAACUCACUUCUAUCCAGAUGGAAGGAUUGUGUGGAUGACAGAAGGUCAGAGGCACCAAUCAAUAGUUGAUGAGUGAGCUAGGCUCAUACAUGCCCCUGAAGAAGAGAAAAUGCUAUAGAUGUGUAUGCUGAGAAGAAGAAAGAUCAUAACACCAUGGCUAAGAUGUAUAAGGAAAUUCCAGAUAAGGCCUUGGAGACACAUAAGUUUGGGUCAGUCUACUAUUUGUUGCCUGGUUUGUCCACCAUAAACACCAUCUUGAGGCAUACUCUAUUGCCCAAAUCUGGAGAUCACAGGAUGAUCAGAGGCCAUUCCAUCAACUUGCUACAAUUAUUUGGUGUUGUGGCAUAGAAGUUCAAGGCCAUGAGCUUGAUUGUUGAGACAAUCAAAAGGACAUCAGCUGACCAGAAGAGAUCUUGUGGAUAUGCUCCACACAUCCAAGAGCCAAUCAAUUCCAAGAUGAAGCAAGGAGUGUAUCUUUUGGACAAAGAACAUCUUCCUUUACUGCCUGACUUUGAGGACAACACAGUUGUCAUGGAUGCUGAAGAUCCAUCUUCAGUUGCAGCUCAUGAGAAGAAGGACAAAGCCAGAGUAGAAAAAGCAGCAAAGAUGCCAAGUGCAGCAGAUGCAUCAAAGGUAUUCCUCAAGUCAAAGCAAGACCAGCUUGGAUUUAUGAUUCAAGCAACCCUGAGGAUUGAGAAAGGACUAGCUACCCUGACUUAAAACCAGGAGAGCUUGGAGAGGAUCAUUGAGACAAAAUUCUAUGAUCUAGACUUGAAGGUGACUGAGAUACAGACAGUUGUUGAAGAAAUCUAGGAAGAAGCAUAUGAGAGGAAGGGCAAAGCUACUACACAAGUGUUCCACAGAGUGCCUAGGGCACAAAGGUCUGCAGCAGUGACAGUGACAGUCACUAGAGCUACAACUUCAGCACCUGCAGCCACAACUCCCAUAGCUCCUGUUGCCCCUCCAGUGGCAACCCCUCCAGCUGCAACAUCAUCUAUAGAUGCAUUCGUCCUUGGAGUCAUCUCAACACCUCCUUCCGAAGAUCAAGCCUAUAGAGACGCAUAACAUUAUGCAUUUUUGAGCUUUUUGGUAACUUGUUGCCAAGGGGGAGAAAGUGUAUAGAUCACAGGCUUCGGAGAGAGAGAUUUGUCUCUUUUUGCUUCUUAUUCGCUUUGUUUGCUUUGUUUGCUUGUGAGAUACAUUAUGUCUCUGUGUGUGAGAUACUUUGUAUGAUCAUGUGCUUGAACAUAUCACACUUUAUGCUUAUGCUUGAAUGAUGACAUUAUCUACCUCUUGCAUGAUCAUUCACUUUGCCUUGGUGAUGAGUGCUUGUUCUUACUUAUCAUCAUUUUGAGUGCUCCACCAAGAUGUAUGUAACAUGGAAGAGUAACCAAUUAUCCUAACAGAUUGUGCAUUUGCAGUCCAAAGCAAAUUUUAAACAAUGAACAAAUGUAGGGGGAGCUCUUGCUUAUCACAUACUUCUCAAAGCGACAAUGUACUUCAUUCUUAUUAUCUUGUCGAAGCUUUGAUCUAUAUGUUGUCAUCAAUUACCAAAAAGGGGGAGACUGAAAGUGCAAAUAAUUCCUGGGUGGUUUUGGUAAUUCUUAACAACAUAUAGUUCAUUGAACUAAUGCUAUUUCAAGAUGAUCAUUUCAGAAAGUUCAAUGAUUGGCAUGGCAUGGACUAGAGAUGUGGACCCCUCAAAAUGCAAAGGACAUAUAUUGGCAACAAGCUUAAGACUCUACAUUUUCAUUUUAGUGAUCCAAGAUCACAUUGAGUCCAUAGGAAAGCCAAUACUAUUAAAAGGGGAUGAGGUGUUUCUUAAUGGCUUACUUGCUCAAAAUGCUUAGUGAUAUGCUCCAAAACCCUCAACCACUUUCUCAUUUCCACAUAUGUCCUAACCUAAAGUCAAAUUCGGCCCCACCGAUUUGAUCUAUCUGGCGCCACCAAGUUUCAUUUGACAUAGCCACUGCCACAAAUCCUAGUUACUUCUGUCUCACCAAUAGGGAUCUCGGUCUCACUGAGAUGGGAUUGCAAACUCUUUGUUUCCUUUUUAUAACAUUUCGGUCUCACUGAAACGAGCAAAUCGGUCCCACCGAGUCUACAUUGCAAACUCCCUGUUUCCUUUUCGUAACACUUCGGUCUCAAUGAAGUGAGCGAAUCAGUCCCACCGAGUUUGCCUGACCAACCCUUUGUGUACCUAUUGCUGAAAUUGGUCCAACCUAGUUUAUGCGAUCGGUCACACCGAGAUUAUGUUAUGCCCUAACCUUAGGAUAUCGGUCUCACCGAGAUGACUAUAUCGGUCCCACCAAAAAUCCUAACGUUCAUAUUUUGACCUAAACCGGUCUGACCGAGGUUGUUGAUUUUGUCCCACCGAGUUUGGGAAUUUGUGUGUAACAAUUAGAUUUUGUGUGGAGGCUAUAUAUAGCCCUCCACCCACUCUUCAUUUGUGGGGAGAGCUAUCAGAACAAACCUACACUUCCACUACUCAUUUUCUGAGAGAGAACCACCUACUCAUGUGUUGAGACCAAGAUACUCCAAUCCUACCAUAUGAAUCUUGAUCUCUAGCCUUCCCCAAGUUGCUUUCCAGUCAAAUCAUCUUUCCACCAUAGCCAAAUCUGUGAGAGAGAGAGAGUUGAGUGUUGGGGAGACUAUCAUUUGAAGCACAAGAGCAAGGAGUUCAUCAACAACACACCAUCUAUUACCUUUUGGAGAGUGGUGUCUACUAGAUUGGUUAGGUGUCACUUGGAAGCCUCCGUCAAGAUUGUGGAGUUGAACCAAGGAGUUUGUAAGGGCACGAAGAUCGCCUACUUCAUGAAGAUCUACCCUAGUGAGGCAAGUCCUUCGUGGGCGAUGGCCAUGAUGGGAUAGACAAGGUUGCUUAUUCGUGGACCCUUCGUGGGUGGAGCCCUCCGUGGACUCGCACAGCCGUUACCCUCCGUGGGUUGAAGUCUCCAUCAACGUGGAUGUACGAUAGCACCAUCUAUCGGAACCACGCCAAAAAUCUCCGUGUCAACAUUGCGUUUGCUCCCUCCAAACCCCCCCCAUUUACUUUCUUGCAAGUUGCAUGCUUUACUUUCCGCUGCUCAUAUACUCUUUGCAUGCUUGCUUGAAUUAUAUUGAGAUUGCUUGACUUGUGUUGAGUUGCUAAAAUCUGCCAAGAACUAAAAUUGGGAGAAGGUUAAGUUUUUAUUUGGUGUGGAAACUACAAUUGUGAUUCCUAAACUGCUCCCUGCUAGGUGAAAUGAUAGCCUACCCCUAUAGUUUACAUCUAAUUCUUGAUAGCCUAUAUCUAAAUCAAGAAAGGGUGGGAAAGGUCAUUGUUAUCUGGCAUUGAUGGGCUGCCAAUUUACAUGUACAAUUUACUGUUUAUCUUUGAUAAUUUCUAAUAACAUAAGUUGGUCUGGCUAUGAUGGGAGCAGUACUAGAUAUAGUAAGAAUGCAAAAAAGAAAGUGAUGUGUAUUCGCUAAAGUAGAAAGAGCACAGUCGUCACAACCACUAAUUCAACAGAGCUGAACCUUGAAAGACUCAUUUCUUCCUGAAAUCAUAAUGAGAGGCAAAAGUUAUCCUAAUUGUAAAGGUAGUAGAAUUUUGAAAUAGUAGAAUUUCCGAAUCAUCAUGCAUCAAUGAAGAAGGGAAAUAGUAAACAAUCUAGAGGAAUUUAUGUUCCUCUACAUAUAUGCUUUGUAAAAAUCUGAUAGUGACUUUUGACAUGUUUAUGACCGCUAACCCAAACUCGUGUUCAUGUUUUCUUAAUUGUUUCAAGUAGGCAUGACCUAGAGGCAGCGCUUAUUUCAGAAGUCGAUUGGGAUAACUUGCAGAUUGUGGAGAUACAUGAUGACGAAGGUAGAAUUGAACUACUGAGUGAGGAUCAGUUCUGUGAGAUUUUGGGCUUGCAGGAUGAAGAAGAGAAAAAAGAUAAGAGUGAACCAAAGGGUCGUAGAAUGGUUGAGCAGGGCAGUGAUAAUGAUGGUGUUGCCAUUCCUGUUAGUGAUGCCAUACCAAAUGAGCUAGUGAUUACAUAUGAUAAGGACCACCUAAAAAUGGACCUUGGAAAAAUGUACCCAUCAAUAAAGGAAUUUAGGUUAGAAGUGAGGGAAUUUGCCAUCAAUGAGGAGUUUGAUAUAGGCACGGAGAAGUCGGAUAAAAAGAGAUUUAGAGGGUUCUGAAAGUCAAGUGAGGUUUUUGCUUGGAGGAUUGUUGGCAGCCUGCAGGAUGAUAAAUGUAUUGUAAAGGUGAAAGAUGGCUAACUAUAUAACCUCCAUUCAUUUUUUUAUCUCUGUGUAUGUCUAUUUACAAUAUAACUUUCCUUCAUUUUUAAAUUCUAUAUGUGCAGGUCACAAUUUUAGUUGAUCAAUAUGAUAGUGUUUCAAGCAGCAGGGUGAAGAUCAUAAAGCCAUCGAAAGACUGGGUAGCUAACAAGGCUGUGAGUAUCCUUAGGAAUUCACCUAGGUGCUAAAUAAUUACAGAAAAAGUUGCAAGAACAACACAAAGUCGCGAUUCUAUAUGACACGGUCUGGAGGGGGAAAGAAAAAGCUGUUGCAGAGGUUUAUGGUAAAUGGGAAGAGAGUUUUGAGAUGUUAUAUAAAUGGAAGGCUGAGGUACUGAAGAGGUCAUCUGGAAGUGUUGUGGAGAUUGAAGUACUGGAAAUAGAUGGUAAUGUGUAUUUUCAUCGGGUUUUUUGUGCACUUAAACCAUGUAUUGAUGGCUUUUUGGAAGGAUGUAGACCACAUCUAAGUAUAGAUUCUAUUGCAUUGAAUGGAAGGUGGAAUGGCCAUUUAGCCUCAGCUACGGCAUUUGAUGGUCACAAUUGGAUGUAUCCACUUGCUUUUGGGUUCAUUGCAUCUGAGACAGAAGACAAUUGGACGUGGUUUAUGAAUCAACUUAAAAUGGCAAUAGGCGAUCCUCCACUUCUUGCAGUGUGCACAGAUGCUUGCAAAGGCUUGGAGAAUGCGGUGAAGAAUGUGUUUACCAAUGCUGAACAAAGGGAAUGUUAUUACCAUCUUAUGAAGAAUUUUUCAAAAUGGUUCCAUGGCUUUGGAAGGAUGUACCCUGCAGGAAGGGCUUAUAGGGAAGAUGUGUUCACUGAACAUAUGACAACAAUCAUUAAACAAUCAGAUGAGGUAUGGAAAUGGUUGAGUGAGUACCACACUCUAAAGUGGAUGAGGUGUGUCUUCAAUCCAGAUAUCAAGUGUGACUAUAUCACUAAUAAUGUGGUAGAGGUUUUUAACAACUGGAUCCGAGACAUUAAGGAUUUACCUGUUGCUGAACUAGCUGAUAAGAUUAGAGAGAUGAUCAUGCUUUCGUGGAGGAAGAGAACAAGGAUUGGAGAAAGGCUACCACCUGGACGGAUACUACCGGCAAUUAUGGUUCAACUGAGAGCAAAUACUAGAGGUUUGGGGCACUUGAAAGUAGUGGAGUCUACUAAUUGGAGUGCAGAGGUGUGGGAAAAUAGCAAGAACUGUGAAAGGCAUGUCGUGAAGCUAAAUCAGUAGACCUGUACUUGUCUUGAAUGGAAGCACACUGGUAAGACAUGUCAACAUGUCUUCGCCUUUGUGACAUCACAAAAGAGAGUAAAUCGUGAACAAUUUGUGCAUGAGUGCUACUCUGUGGACAGAUUCAAGGCUGCUUAUGGGAGAGAGAUUGAUCCAAUGACAAAUAAAUCACAAUGGUCACGUGUGGAGCUACCAUUUUUUGUGGGGGCUCCACUUGCAAAAAGGAAAUAAAGGAAGACAAAUGAAAUUGAGGAUCAAAGGAUGUCUUGAAGGUGGCCACAAGAAAAAAAAGGUGCCAAUGAUGCUCCCAAGGAUGAUAGCACCGCUCCCACCAAUUCUAAUGGGAAAAAAAUGAUUGGAGGGCCAAUGACUUGCAAGAUGUGGCGAAAAGGGUCAUAGGAAAGCUAGUUACAAGUGUCCACUCAAUGGAACCAAAAAAGGCAAGUGUUUUUCUUUUAGUCAAAGCUUAAAUUAUCACAUCAUGCCAAAAAUAAAUUGUUUUGUUGAAUUGCAGGAAGAGAAAGCCUAGAAAGAAUAGUACAAAUGCUAGGCCAGCUGAACCUAGCACCCAGAAAGACCUACUAGAGAACAAAUAUUGCAGGAAAGUCCAAGCAUGGUCACUAGAAGGUAAGCUGAAAUGACAAAUAUCUUUGUGUUCAGCAUUGUCCAAAUGGGGAACAAAAAUACUUUAUCUAAAUGUGAUAAUAUAUAUGUGUGCAGCCGCCUUGCUAUCUUGUUGGGAGAGGGUAGUUCUUCACAAACCACUAAAACUACCCCAGAGGGGAUGCAACAGCAGCUCCACCAUAGAAGAUGACCCCAAGGAGGAUGCCAACAUCAGCUCCACCAAAGAAGAUGACUCCAAAGAGGAAGCUAUCUGUUGGAUGAAUGAUCUGUUUGAGAUUGCAUUAUGUCAGAUGUGAACCAGUACUUUCAAUAUGCUUGUUAUGUAGAAGUGAACUUACUAGUAGUUUUAUUCAGUGUGUUGCUUAUGUGAGAUAUGAACUCACAAUUUCAAUGAGCUUGGAACUCAAAAUUAAAGUGAGUCAUGAGAUGCAACAGAUUAUGCCCAGUUUAUGUCUCAUUAUUAUUCUUCUCAUGUCGAUGUACUGUGUGGAUAUAUAGCAGAUUAUACUUAGUUUUUGUCAUUUAUAGUAUGGUUGUUCCAACAUUUUGUUCUGGUCAAUACACUCAUAUUGUAGAAAUUUGUAGUCUACUGCGUGGAUAUAAAUAUCCAACAUUUAGUCAGCACAGUUUUUCUCAUGUUCAGAUUAAGAUGUAAAAAAUACUUCCACUGCUCAUCCUUCUCAUGAUCUUCACUUUCCAUUCAGGGAAAACAAAUGUAUCUUUGCCUAUGUUAUUUGAGCACAAGAUAGUACAGUGGUGUGUGACAGCAGUCCAAAAAGGUUCAACAAUAUAAUCUGGAAUGCUCUACAGACACAGCUAGAGAACAUCCUUCAAACAAAACGAGAGCAUAUCAGGUACAUUCAUAUAACCAGUAGUGCAUUUGGGAAAAUCUUGCAUUCUGACUGAAAUUCAUGACAUUUGAGAACAUCUUGCAUUCUGACAAAAAUUCAGAUAGGAAAAGGGAUACUGAAGCAACCCAGGGAACUGAAAAAUAGUACUAUAUCAUACAUCUGGUGAUAUAUCAUCAUGGUUUUAAAUGCCAUAAAACAAUCUUGCAUGAAUCCUAACACAACAAUCUAAAACAAUUCUAUUUCUCUGCAGUCAGAACAAAUGUACCCACUCAAACUCUCCAAAACAAUCUAGGCAAACUUCUCUGCAAAACACUACCAAUUUCUCCUACUUUCUCAAACACAUGUGCACAAGCGUCCAGAGGAACUCCCGCCGGCCGACAAAAAAUCCUCCAUGGCCACGCGCCCAUAUCCCUCCACCUCCUCAUCCUCCUGGGAUGCGCCCUCCCGCCUCCUCGUCCCAGCCGAGCGGUGAGACCAGGACGAGAGGCUCGAGCGCCGAGCAGGAGGCCGAACUGAGCAGCUGUGGCGCGCGGGCACAAGGGCAAGCGGUGAUAGCGAUCGGGCCGAGCGAGCGACGACGGCGACCGGGCAAGCAACGUCAACAAGGUGUUUGUGUGGCUUGUUCUUUCCUCUG
Molecule: long non-coding RNA, 62903 nt
Filed under: Triticum aestivum (bread wheat)
Lineage: Eukaryota; Viridiplantae; Streptophyta; Magnoliopsida; Poales; Poaceae
Description: long non-coding RNA (TAES_LNC022314)
Source: RNAcentral